AAAAAAAAAAAAAAAAAGGUUGAAGAAUCUUAAUUCUCUAGGUUCUUGAUUAAACAAUUUUUUUAUAAAUCUAUUUUGAUGAAUCGCUUUUCAAUUUAUUCUAAUUUAGCUUUUUUUUUAAAGAUGGUCUAGUAAUUCUGUUUUUUUUUAAAAAAAAACUUUUAUUAUUUAGAUUACACAAAAUUAGUUACGUUUUAAAUCAUAUGAAAACUUGAUCAGAUAUAUUGUGUUAACUUAUAAAUUGAAUGUCAUAAUGAUACUAAUUGUUAAUUAUAUCAAUACACAUAGGUUUUUUUAAAACCUAUUUGAACUAAAAUGAUAUAAUUUGAAAUUUUAAAGACAUGAGACACGUAUAUAAAAAACUUUUAGUAAAAAAAAAAUCCAUUGUGAAAUUUUGGGUUUUAAUUAAGAAAAAAAAAAGUAAUCAUUUCUUAUGAUUCUUUGCAAAUAUAGAAGGCAAUUAGAAAAUUAGAACUUUGCUUUUUCGUUUUUUGUUUCUAAAAUAAUGAAUUGAACAACAAGUUCACCAUUCAAUACCUUCCAAAUUGGAAGAUUAAAGAAGGCAAGAGAAAGAAUUAGUGAAGCCUGCAGAUGUAGCUACCCAACCUUAUUACAUACACAAAGGAAAUACAAGAAGGAGAUCAUACCCAACCUAGUAGCUAAAAAAAACCCAAUUCAAUCAAAUAGUUGUUGAUUAAAUUCACCCCUCCUACCAUCAAAACGCAACCACACUAGAGAAAAAUGGGAGAAGUGAAUUAUACGAACAUAGAAAGAUUUACACUUUAAUUAAUUAAUUUUAUAUUUUAGUGAAUUAUUUUAUAUAUAUAUAUAUUUUUUAAAAACCCCCAGAAACUUGCUCAAUAAAUAGGCUAAGACAUCAUAAAUGAUCCAAAGUCAUAACUUAAUUUAAUCGAAACUCUUUAUAAAAGAAAAAAAGGAUGAAGUAGAAUGAGACACGUGGAAGAGAAAGAGGGGAAGUAGUGAGUGAUGAUGAGAGGGGGGAUGCCACAUGUAAAAGCUGCAAAGACAGAAUCCAUGUGCGCUUUCCCUCCUAAGGCAGGUGGUUUUGCAGUAAUCCUCUAUUUUCUCUUCUCACCCGCGCAUCACCACCGCGUGUUCUCCACUCCUUUACUAUCUUUUCUAUUUAUCCUCACUAUUCACUACUCACUACUCUGCCUUAUAGAUGACAUUGAGAUCCCUAAUCACCAACAUUUACUUUUUUUUUUACUUUCCCUUAAACUAUCCAUUUCUUCUUUUCUUUCUACUUCAUCUUAUAUUAAAUUUUCAUAAAAUUAACUCUUAGAAAUCUAUUUAAAAACUAGAUUUAGUUACAUCCUAUUAUAUAACAUUGGUAUAAUAGUAACAUUUUAAUCAUGGUAAAUAUGCAAUACGUAAAUCUGGUAUAAUAGUAACAUUUUAAUCCUUGUAAAUAUGCAACAUGUAAAUUUUAUGUACUACAAGGUGAAAGUAUUGUGCAACACUGUAACAAAUAAAUCAAUAGACGAAACAGGGAGAGCAAAUAGAAUCAGAUAUUUUAAUUGAUAUCUGUCAACUGUUGAUAUAAAUUGUGUGGAUAUCAAACUCAAUUAGUAACUAAAACACUUUUAAGUAUCGGCUUUAAAAUGUGUAUUUGUAAGGAUAAACUCUAAAAUGUCAGAUCUUCAUGACCUACGAACACUCUACGUUAGAAUAUGAUUUUGAUCUCCAAAGUUUGUUUGAUUUUAAUUUAUUUAUUUUAGAAAAUAUUAGAUUUAAUUUUAAUAUUAGUUUAUCAAUUUUUGUUAUCUAAUUCAUUUUCGUUAUAGAAACUUAUUGUUAUUAUUAAGAUGGAAUCAAUUUUGGUAAAAAAUAACUUUUAAAAAAAUUGAAAUAUUAUUUUAGUAAAAAGACACGAAUGUAUAAUUGGUAGGGCUAGGAUGUUGACAAGUGGAGGGCAGAGAUGGAGAGUGGAGGAGCUUGAGCACACACCAAUUGGGGCGUCAUCGUCAGGCAAUAGACAGCCUUUAACACUCCCAUUUCUUCGUUUUUCUUCGCUCAGAAUUUUCCACUCAUCAAAUUCUCUCGCGAUUCGUCCCAACGCCAUUUCUUCUUCUUCUUUCUCUAUCACUGUUUCCUUGAACCCCAUCUCCUCCAUUUCUCUCCUUUUCAACAUCAAUUCUUGAGCUAAGCAACUCCCAAUUAGUCUCCAUCGUUAAAACAGAGGAAAAUUUUUAAAACCCUCUCAAAAGUUUUGGACUUGUGAGGAGAUUGAAGUGAUUGUCGAUGUUCAUAUUGCGAAAAAUUUCUUAUACCUUGUUUCUCAAUCGGGAGUUAAGUUGUUGAAUGUUGUAGUUUCUAUUGAAAUGCUCGUUUUGUUGAGACAAGGGAUUUCAAUCCAUGAUCAUCGUCGCAUUCUCCUUCUGCCUUUUUCAAUUCUAUGUGUGUUUUUGCCUGAAUUCGACCAAAAACUCCAUUGAUGUUGGGUUUAUUGAUUCGAUUCUAUCUAAUUGCAGCUUCACUCAUUGUUGAAGCAUUCGAUUCUUUUUGUUCCCUUUUUUACUUAUUUGGGAUUUUGAAUCGUUUGGGUGUUUGCUUCGGAGUGGGGUUUGAAUCAGUGAGAUCCAGGUUUACUUGGAAUUGGUCUCGAGGAUUUGGCAUUGCCGAGCUUUUAAGUUCCACUUCAAUCCUUGACUUGGGAACGACACUGGAUACUCAUACCCGUUGGCAGUGAUUCAUAACUUGAGGAAAUAGAUCUGUGGAACAUAAAGCUUCUGUUGUUAUUUGCGUUUGAUCUUCAGAAGGGGAUGAUUUUUGCAAUGAAUUCUGGGUUAAAGGAGGAUUUUCUGGUUCUUGAUUGGCUUAGAGCACUUCAUAGAAGACUGGGUUAUAGUGGUCGUCUUUUCAUACUGAAGAAACCUUUUGGGUUGACAUAAUUUUCCCUUUUGUUUUUUUGCAAAAUCUCAUGCCAAGAAGCUUAGGUUUCAUUAGUUUGACUGAGUUGUAGUUAGUUUGGUAUUGUUUGUUCAAAUUUCUUCUGUGCAAAAGGCUAUUGAGUAAGUUUGUAGAACGAAUUUGAGGAAAUAUCAUUUGCUGAAUGGGAGAAUUUCUGGUUGCUCAGAAACUAUUAAAGCUCUAGAAGAAUUAUAGAUGUUGAAAACAAGUACAACAUGGGGCAGUGGAGGGAACAAACUAGCUUCAUUCCCAACAAGAAAAAGUGAAGUAAUUCAAGAAUUCAAAAGCGGAUUUUGUUCUUGGUCGGCACAAUGUCGCGAUGCUUUCCAUUUCCACCACCUGGAUACGAAAAGAAAGCUAGGAUAGAGGAUCUAGACCUAUUGAAAAAGGUUGAGCAAACUUCCCUUCAGAUCAUACAAAGCAUGAUUGUGUAGGCCUCAUCAUAGGCAUAUAUAGUGAGGAAAAAGAAGAAUUUGGUUCUACAUGCUUGUUAAUUGAUUUGAAGCAUUUGUUCUGAUUUAUGUAAUAAACUGUUUGAAUUGAAUCUCAUGAGAGCUUUAUGACUUGCUCUUUUCUAGCAUGUGCUAAUCAUGAAUCAUAAGACUGAAAGUGACUGUUCUUACAUAUUUUGCUGUGGCCUGUGUUUGUACUGGUUUGCUAUUAGGUUCUUUCUUGAUUUUUUUUUUUUUUUUAAUAUAUGGUAUGAGUGCAUAGAUUCGACAUGGCGUUUUUUCUAUUAAAAUUUAGCAAAACAUCUUCUUGUCAGUCUGUGGGAUCUCAUUAAAAGUUUUCACUUACCAACUUUUGUUUGUCUUACCGAUUAUCAUCCAUUCCUGAAAAUAAGACAUUAAAGGUUUUCAGUUUUGUAUGUAGUUUUCUCUUAUGCUAAUUGAUUUAUUCUUUUGAAAAAAAGGAUAAGCAUAAAAAGAAGAGGAAAAAGGAGAAUAGGGAUCACAAAGAAAAGAAAAAGAGCAGGAGCAGACAUAAAAGGGACAAGGAGAAAGACAGAGUUAAAGAUAAAGCUAAAACCUUGGAUGAGUCAAAACUUCCAGAUAAAAUCCAAUGUCACAAUCGACAAUUCCUCUUUCAGAAAGAUCUUGAAGACAAGGAUAACUGCAGACUAACCGAGAAGAGAUAUGCUGGACAGUCGGCUGGUUACAGUGACGGAAAGUUUAGUUGUGGUAGCCAUCUGCCUGAGAAAUUUAGUGUCUCCGAAAUUGCGCUCGAGUUACCUAAGAGGAAUAAGGAUGAGGAUGUUGAUAGUGGAUUUAGGAACCUUUCGGGGGAGAAGUUGUUUGCUUGUCUUCCAGAGAAAGAUGAUUGGAUGGAUAAGACAAUGGCUAAGGUCACUCAGAACUUCAAUGAAGGGAAGACGAAGAACAAGAAUAAGGACAGUCGUGAAGCAAAAUAUGGAGAUCUAGGAAUACAAGAGGAGUCAAAGUUCAGAAAAAGAGGGACUAUUCAGCCUAUGGUUAAAGAUGGAGUGGAUUCGGUGGAGAAGAAUGCUGAUGCUAAAACUGAAGAGAAGAAGUGGAAAGGAAAUGGGAGGGAUGAAAAAAGCAAGGACAAACAGAAGGACAAAGAUAAGGAAGGGAAAGGUAAGGAUAAAGAAAGAGAUAAAAAGAAGAAAAAGAAGGAGAAGAUUGAACAGAAGUUUGGAAACCUAAAAAAAUCAAAAGAAAGAUACGAAGGCGACGUUACCAGUCCUGAUUCAAUAAUAACAUCACAACUUCUCAGGGACAGCCACGGAUCUGUUGCAAGUAUAGGAAGCCUCAUGAAGAGGAAGGAAUUUGAGAACAAUGGAAUCUUUGGUGAGUUGAAUCUUGAUGCUGAUAAUAUUGCCUAUUUGUUGUGUUAAAAUUAGAUCCAUUGGACCUUUCCUCUUGAAACUAAGCAGGUUAAGGAAGGGCAGCUGCUCCUUAUUUCAACUGCACUUCUCUUGAGAUUACUUGAAGUUUUGUUACUGUUUAUUAUUGGCAUGAAAAUUUUGUAGUUUUUGUCAAGGAUGGCACUGUUUUAUUACCUCACUGAUAAAUUUUUGCUUACAUUUUCAACAGCCAAGGAUCAUAUGUCCAGUAACUCUACAAAGUUCACUUCUUCUUCUGAUCUGCCUAGAGUAAACCACAAGAUGUUAAAAUCUUGCCAAUCUUCUGCACCAACUGCUUCAAAUUGGCAGGUAACAGCCAAUAUUUAUGGUCUUAAAGAACACUAAUCAAACGACUUUACUGAAAUUCUCCCAGCUCUUUCAUCUGCUAAAUCUAACCAAGUUGAUCCGAAUUGUCAAAGGUACAGUCCAAGCCACCACAUCCAGAUUUAGAGUGUUUAAGCCAGGUGUAUUUAGUUCCCAAAAUGGAGGAAUGGUCAGAUUUUUGUGACCAAGAUUGGCUGUAUAGUAGCAGUGCUUCCAAAUUGAAGAAGCUGAAUGCACACAGGUAUGAGAUGGAGACAACGACACCAUACGUAUGGGCAGAGGCAAUGCAGAUUGACUCAAUUGAUAUCUGCGCUCUACCGUAUGUUGUCCCAUAUUGAAAGCUAUAAACGUCGUCUUAGCUGCAUCGACAACUCUGUAUGAUAUGACACAAAGUUAACAAACAGCCCGGUGAUGGUUUUUCAAUUGUUCUGCAGCAUUCCUUCAUUUUCACUCAGUUGUUGAGGUCUAACAUGAUUGAUAUUUGCUCUGUGAUCGAUGUUGUCACAUGAACUCGCUGCUGGAUCAACGAGCUGGGAUUUGGACAAUCUUUUUCACCAGUUAACACUGAACAUCCCUAAUUCAUUUAUGUAGCCAAGUAAAAUGCAAGCUCAUGAGAUUGCUUAGUAGGCAAGAUGCAUAAGCUUAUUAUGUAAUUUCCUCUUUCAUUUCAAAAGGGAAGUUAGAUGUGCAGAACUUAACUCUUGAUAGAUUUAUAAGAAAUAGAAAUAUAUAGAAUUUAGUCAUAUUUAUUUAUUUAUUAUUGUCUUCUAAACACACAUAUAGAAUAAGAAUCACAUUGAAAUUUGUUUAAAUUAGAAUCUAAUUAUGUUAUUAUUUACAACUACAACCACAUAGAUGAUUAUUAAAUUCAACUAGUAAGAUUGCAUGCACUCAAUGUUUAGUUUAUACGUCUCUUUGUGAAUGAUAUUAUAAAUGAUUUCGACGUAUGUCGUAACUUUCAUGUGAGUCGUCGUCUUGCCAAUUUUCAAUUUAUUUUAAUAAUUUAAUAAUUUUCAUUUCAUUUUAUUUCAAUAAUUUAAUCAUUUUCAUUUUAUCUCAACAAUUAUACAUUACUCUCUAAUUUAAUAAUUUAUUUUACCACUUUUAAAAUUUAAAUAAAAUUUAUUUAUUAUAUACUACAUAGGAGUGUUUGUAAAAAUAACAAUAACAAAAACAAUUAUAAUAACAAUGUGUUUGUAAAAAUAACAAAAACAAAAACAAUUAUAAUAACAAGACUAUGUCACUCAACUCUUUAAUAGCUCUUUAAUAGAAGUUUGAUAAACGUUAUUAAUUAUUUUGUUAUCGUUUUCCUGUUACAUAUAUAUAAUAAAAGAAAAUUUGUCAAAAUAGAACCAUAUUACACUCAGUAACAAAUUUUUUCUAGUAAUUGUGUUCUAUAAAAGUUUAAAUAAUUUUUUAAUUUUUUGCUAUUUUUUAAAAAAUUUCCUAUAAAAUUUAAAGUAAAAUUAAAUAUUAUAUCUUAACUUUAAAUUAAAACUUCAACCUCCUACAAGUUACACAUUUGAAGUAGUUUUUCUCAAUUUUUUUAAAACAAGUUAUGUCAAUCAAGCUAGUAACACAUUUAGUUUAGUAAAUAAUAUUAAUAAGUCAGAAGUUAAUAUAUUGAGGCUAGAAAAUUUUAUCGUAGUCGUCGUUCAAACAAACAGUAGUUUUUUAAAUAUGAAUGAACAAAAAUAAAAUAUCAUCUUAUAGACAAGUCGUGUAAUAGAUUGGCCUACUAGCACCUCUCUCACUCUGUACUAGGAAAGUCAUAGCCUAAUAGCCAUACCAAAUUUGUUAAUCAUUAACCAUAGUAAAAUAAAAUAGGAGCACCCGAUUUAUUAAAGAAAAACUAUAGUAAUACUAAUAAUAGUUUGAGAAGGACAAUAUUGUUUUUUUCUUCCUUCAAUAAUUUCACGAACAUGUUAUUCGAUAUUCUUACCUCCAAGAUAGAAGACCAUGCUAAUUAUUAGUGCACAGAUUUAUUAGUUUUUUUUUUUAAAAAAAAGACAAUAACUAUUAGCGUAAAAAAAUUAAAUAAUAAAUUGUAAAAAAUAGAACAUUCGACUAAAUAUUUACACUUUCUAGAAAAAUCAAGUGUAAUAAAUUUUGUUUUUCAAUGGUUUUGUUCUAUGAAGUGUAAAUAGUUUGUUAAAAUUUCAUGUUUUUGAAGAAAAACUCUUUUAAAAUAUUUUAUUAUUUUUUAUUAUCAUCGUGUUUUUCGUAAUCUUCUCCUUUUGAAGUAAAAAAUAUUGAUCUCUUAACUAAAUUCUUUGAAGACUCUUUGGUUCGGUCCAUUGAUAUUACCUAUUAUUGUCUCAAUAGUUGGUUUUCAAUUAAAAUCAAAAACCAAAUGAUUACCAAACAAUACCUAAAAUACUUCUACUUGAAUUGUUUUUUAGAACAAGAAACUUUUGUGUAAAAAAAAUUAAGUUUCUUCCUAAUAAAAUAAAGUUGAAAUCAUCCAUAUACAAAGAACACACCGAAAGAAAAACUCAAUACAUUAUACACUUUUCAAUAACCACUCUAACCUAAAACAAAUGUUGCAUAGUUAGGCUCAUGAAGAACAAAUGAGCCGAAUACUUGCUUGAAUAAAGGAAUAAUUAUUCUUAAGAUAUACACGUUUUUGUUAUUUGAAUUUGAUUACUAUAAGAAAUGAACAUUUUAUGGAAAGAAUUAACAUGAGUUAAGUUAUACGAGUUAGGUCUCAUACAUAUAUAUAUAUAUAUAUAUAUAUAUGUACUUAUAACUUUGUUUUAUUGUUAGGUUUGUUGUAGGCUCCGCAAACCUAUUAAUGUCAUAUUACGUCUUUCUUCAAAACACAUUAUAAGUGAUAUAUCUAAACAAAUAUCUUGAUCUAAAAUAAUUUAAUCAUAUCAACUUUUUACUUCUUUUGGAAGAUGCAAUUAAUACUCUAUAUCUAUAUUAAAGAAUCGUAUUGAAAAUUGUCUAAAUAUUGGAUUUCGUUUAGAAACAAGCAACCAAUAUAAUGAUAAGUUUUAAUUAAGCUUUAACUUUAAAAAGUUUUAUUUUUGUUGUUAAAUUUCAUAAAUUGUUCGAAGAAACUUUCUUAAGUUCUAAAGUGCAAUUCUUUUUAAAUGAAGAUGAAAAUUAAUCGAAACAAUAAUGCAUAAAAGUUAGAAAGUACAUAUAUUAUUAUUUACAACUAUAUAAAAGAAUUUUAAAAUUCCACACGGUGUUAGUUUGAGGAUUCAAAUUUUAACCUCUACAAUCGAAAUAUAUACACAAACAUAUAGAUUUUAUUAGGAUCGACCAUUUAUUUUUAGUUUUUAUGUUUCCGUGUGUUGAUUUCAACUUUACAUUUUAGUCAUCAAUGACAAGAAGAGAAAAAAGGAACUUCACGAAUAAUUUUUUUUAAAAAAAAAACCCUCUAGAAACAAAAUUUAUAAAUAAUUUAUCAAUUCUUUCUAUUUUUGAAAAGAAAUUUGUUGCGUAUGAUUUAAGAUUAAAAAAAUGUGUAUAAAAUUGAGAAAACCAAUGCAAUUGUUGAGACAAAAAUCUUCUAUGUUUAUUGAAGUCAUUGUAAAUACCGUACAAUGGGUUCACUAUGUUGAAAGAGGUCUCCAUCACGUCAACUUAAUCCUUAAUUUCUUUCAAGCAGUCAACUGCACGCCUCAACUCGACAUCUUAAGCUUCUUAAAAAAGAUUGUUAAAGUAGACAAAAAUUUAUAAAAAUAUUCUCUUCAUUUAAUAUUCAUACUCUAGUAGAUGCAUGUGUAUUUACUCUUUACCAUAUCACUAAGAAACGAUAUUUCAAAUAUUCAGAACAAGUUGUUUACAUCUUUUAUAUAUUUUAAAGAUGAUUUCUUUUAUCUUUAAAAUAUUUAUCUUAACCAUAUAUACGAACCUCUCUCUUUUUUCACCACUGUUCUCUUGAUAUUUUAUCAUCUUAAAGCUAUCUAAAUCGUUUUGAUCUAAAAUCAAUGGUAAUAAUAGUUCAUGAAGAUUCAAAUAGAUUGAGACUAAGAAACUCACUUGAAUGUCGUCAAUAAUCAUCCGAUCAAAGCUCAAUUCAUCAAAAGUUUCUCAAAAUUUUGGAAGUAAAGCAUAGUUACGAUAUAUAUAACAAAUAAAAAAAGGACAGUAAUGAAAAGAAAUAUUCAACUCAUAAUUCAAAAGUCCCUUUUUCUAAAAGAAAUUAAGUUGAAACAGUAUUUAGAUCUUUUAAUGUGGAAAUUAAACGCUUUGCAAGCCAACAGUUAUUAAACCCAACUAGUGGGAUAAGGAUUUCUUUUAAGUUCCCAUCAAACAACUGCACCUCCUCCAUUAUUGCUUUGUCUACUCAAACUUUAAAACACAAGUAGACAGAUCCAUAAUGUGGACCCAAUUCAUAGAAAGAUUAGAAGAAGAAAAAAUGAAAUUUAUCCUAUCGACUUCCGCUAUUUCACCAUAAAUCCAUUGAUUCUAUAUUACUUCUUACUUUUUUAAUACAUGGGAUUGAGGGUAGUCUUUUUUUACUUCACAAAAAGCUUCAAACAAAUGUUGUUCUCUUUACGCAUAUAACUUUCUACCACAAAAUUUAACAAAUACUGCAAUGAAUAAGUGUACAGUAAAAAGAACAAUGUGAUUGAAGGAAUAAUUCUCAUGUGUAUUCUUUUACCCUAAAACUAAUACGAAAGCAACACUUUAUGAACUAUUUCUAGUCAAUCAAACAGUUACAUUAAUAAAGUUGUGAGAAAAGACAUAAUUUUUAUUAAAACAGUGUCAUUUCGUCCGUGGAAGACGGUCUUUAAAGUAAAAGAUACCAUUUCCAACUUUACCUUUUUUAUAUGGUCUAAAAUUCUUUAGUACGAGUUCUUUUUUAGAAUUAUGAAGAUGGAUGAUCCAACCAUCCAUCUUUAGUUGGGGCCAAAGUCAGAAAAUAAUUACAUUACAUUAUGCAGACACAUUCUAUACAUAUAUGUGUGUAUGUUGGAAAAUUGUGUGUAUUCACAAGAAGCACUGCUGCCAAAUGCUGUGAGUAAUUAAGGCUUUUUGGGGCAGCUUUUUCAAUCCGCAUUAGUCGUUUAAACAAUCAAAAACUUUUUAAGCCUCAACCCACCAUUUGUAGGCGGCUGACAGUUGUGGAGAUUAAAAAAAAAGAAAUCAUAUUUGUGUUGAACCAUAGUUUAAAGUAUUUUUAAAUUUGAGCUUGUUAGGUAUGAAAGACCCACCAAGAUUGAUCUACUCUUUAGCUUGGAUGUAAUUUCAAUACACCUUAAAUUUAGUCUACAAUUUCAAUUUGAAAUUUAAAAUUAAUUUCGAUUGACAACAAUUUCUAUGGUAACACGAGAGGGGGAAAUCGAUAUCAACAUUAUCAAAUGGACAAAAUUAAGUUGCAUCAAAGUAUGGGACCAAAAAUAUAGAAGAAAAAAUGAUAAAUAAAGGACCAAAUUGAUAGGAUAUUUGAUGGUCUCCUUCAAGUUCUCUAUGUCGUGGUUCACAUAAAACCAAAGUUAGGAACCAUAUGAUCACAAAUUUCGUUUUGAUUUUCUAACUUUUAAGAUUUAGAUUUGUUAUGUAUAUAAGAUUUAAAAAGAAAAAAGAUUGAAAAAUUAUUGCAUAAAUGACAAAAUUACUAAAAAUAUUUAGAAAGUAUAAGAAAAGUUAAUCAACAAUUUUGCUAUACUUUUGUUCAUAUUUUGCUAUAUUUCAAAGGGUAAUACUCGGGUUUGGGCAUCAAAAUGAGCAUUUGGGGUAGAAAUGCAUAUAAUUAUUUGUCAUUUGAAAAUGACUCACUUUUUCUUUUUAUUGUUAAGCUUUUCACAUAGAGUAGGUUUCAAGGAAAUUACAAAGAAAAAACUAACAACAAAAGCUAAUGUUACCGAAUAAGCCGUAUUCUAUUUACUGAUUCUGAGUCAAACAUGGGUUUUCCUUGAUAUGAAUAAUUCUAUUUCCAUCAACUUUGUUCGUUCAUUUGCCGGCGCAUUCGAGCUCCCCAUGACAUAUUUGGUCUCAAAUCCUUCUCCAUACUUCUUCUCUUCAAUUCCGAAAUCUGAGCUUCCCAACUGUUUCUCCAUCCACUUUUCUGUGCAACUUCCUGAAUCCAAUAUCAAAUUUGGAAGGUUGAGUAUAUGAUAUGAAAAUAGGAAAUCGAAAUUUUGCAAUAGGAUUGAUUGUUUGUUAGACUCAGUGGAGGAAGAAAAAUAAAGGAUUCCUUACAGGUUCGGUAGAACACAAGAAUUUAAUGGAGAAGGAAAGAAAUUAGGUGAAAAUGUUGAAUGUAAACAGAAGAGUAGGGAAAAUUAGAGGUUUACAGUAACGGAAUUCCAUAUUGGGAGGAUUUGCUAGUGCAAUUCCGUUUCUUGAUCAUAGAACAAAUCACUGAAUAAUCAACGAUAGGUCCUUGUUUAAACAUGAACAGUAUACACUACCAAUCGUACUGCGUCCGUAUAAGACAGUCGGAAGAACAAAAAGGAAAGAGGAAAAGAAAAACGACGCUUCCUUUCCUCACUUUAAAAAUUCAAAAUCAUUGAGAUUAAAAUUCUUCACUGAUUCUAAUCUCUAUGGACACCAUAUAAGAAAUUAAACACGAAAUCACUUUAAAAAAACAAGGGGAAACACAAAAAAAUCGAAGGAGGUUCCAAAAUCCGCUAAGAAUUAAACAUGAUUAUCCUUAAAAUACCGAAAAAAGAAAGUUGAAAUCGGUAGAGUGAACUAAUAUAAUACCUCAUCGGCGUCGUAUCGUCUCCUAGCAGAGAACGCGACUUGAAGCCCUCCAAUCAUAUCUCUAUCAUACAGCGCUCUCCUCCUCGGAUCUGCUAACGUUUCGUACGCCUCCUGAACACGAAUGAACCUCUUCGUAUUUUCCUCCACACACCCCGGCGGUGAAACGUCCGGAUGGUACUUCCGAGCGAGCUGCUUGUACGCGCGCUUGAUUUCCUCCAAGGAUCCGGACUUAGAUAUGCCGAGCAAAUCGUAGAAGGAGCCUUCGGCGACCUCGGAGGAAACGAAUCCUUCGUUGAACGAGGCCUUGGCUCGAAUUGAAAGAGACGGCAAGCGCGUCGAAUUGAACGGCGGAGUGUGUGGAAAGCAAACCCGAGAUCGGUAGCCGGAAAUUGGUCGGCGGGCGGUAGUGGUAGGGUUAGAAGGGAUGUAGAAGCGUGAAUCGCUCCCUGAAAAGGUUAAAUCGGAACACUGCAUUUCUCUCUGUUUUUCUCCGUCUAUCUUCCGUUCUAUCAUAUUCCGCUAUUUAUACGAGACGUCCAACGCUGAGUCAUUUGUACGGUGCUGCUUCGUUUACAAUUAAAUAUGCUUUAUCCUUUUCUAUUUUCCUUUUUCCUUCUUUUUCUAAUUAAAUUUAUUUUCCUCCCCUCUUUAACUAAAAACAAUUACUUUUUAGUACAACAAUCCGACGUUCAACUCUCCAUCUAUCACUACAAUUGAAUUAAACAUACACCUUAAAAAAUACUCCAAAUUUAUUUUAAAAAUUCUAAAUUACAAAUUUAAACCUUUUUGUCUUUUAUAGUAAACCGUUGAACAUUAAAAUGUAUAAACUAAACUAUCAUUAUAAUUUGUAAUACUUUAUAAAUAAUAGUUAAUUAUACGAUAAAGUUUUAAAAUAAUGAAAAAUUCCAUUAUACGAACAUAUACGCUACUUUCGAUUAUAAAUUUUGUCAUUUAACUAUUUUAGGUGUUAGUAACGCAAAAUAAUGGUAGAAAAUAGCACAUAUUUCAAAGAUAUAUAUGUGUGGAUUUUGUAUAGAUAUUUAUAUAUCCAUUUAUAUAACUUUAGUUUUAUAUAUAUAAAUUUGAAAGUCGAUAUUAUAAAUUUUGUGUAAUGUUAAAUGAUAAUUUAAGUCAAUGUAUAUUUCUUAUCCACUAAUUUUAUUAUUUUAGUCACGUUCAUUUAUUUGUCUAAACCAAACAACUACCUUAUAAAUUUUUACAUUCAUAUUUGUUAUAAAAGCAAGAGGAGAAUAAAACUAUAUGAUAAAAGAAAAGAGAUGGUGUACAAGUAGAAUUCCUUCACCAAUACUCCAAGAGAACAACUUGUUACCUAAAUAUCUCUACCCAAUAACCCAACCAUGCAUAUGUGACUUAAAUGAAAUAUGCAUAUCUCAUAGUUUAAUAAUAUGACAAUAACUAAGCAUAUAACUAUUUAAAAAUAAAUCGUAAAUAUAACAAAAUCUAUAAAUAAUAUACUUGUAUAUGAUAUAUCAAUAUUACCAAGCUUUUAUAUAAUUAAUUUUCCUUUUCAAAAGUUGACUCGAUACUAUUAAAAUAUAAUAAUAAAAAUUUAAACAAAAAAUAUAUUUAUAAACUUAACUUUUUAAAAUCGAUAUCGUCACACAUAUAACGUAUGAUUGAGACAAAAGUUUAGAUCUAUUGAUUGAAUUGUAUUAUGAAAAGCCACCAUGCAUGACUAUUGCCUCCAAAUAUGGGUCGGAAAAUUAAAUAAUAUGCAUAAGAUAUGGGUGUUUAAUUUGUUAAUUGUUUACAAAAUAUUAAACCAAAAUCUCUUUAUGCUAAUUCAAAUCUCUUGCCCUAAUAAACUAAUGAUAUACUCAUGAAGUAAAAUUUGUAUUAUUGGUUAUGGUCUCGUAUUUGUAUUGCCUAUCAUUAAUUAGGACAAACUAAUGGAACAAAAUUAUAAUUAUUUAAGUGUUAUGAUAAUUAAGCAUUGAUUAGAUUAGUAAAGCUUUUGUAUGCAUCGAUUUGUACAAUAAUAUUGUGACAUUAUUGUUUUUGUUGUUAUUGAUUUUUUUAUGGAAGAGGUGGGUGUAUCUAUUGUUUAUCUUAAAGCUAAAUUUAGAAUGAAAAUAUUUUUAAAAUAGUAAAAUAAAUCAAAAUAAUUUUAAGUUGUAAUAAAAUUUUGAAUUAUAUCAAUUAUAUAAGGUGAUAGACUUCUAUUACGAUCUAUAUUAAUACUAUCAAUAGAAAUAUACAUGUUAUUAAUAGAAUCUAAAAUUUUGUUAUAUAGCGUAAAUAUUUUAUCAAGUUUACUAAUUUUCAUGUUGCCGAACUAUUUACCGAUUAAAAGGGAAAAAAAAGUCUGUAAAGGGCUAUAAAUAAAAGCUCAAUAGAGUUUGCUAUAUUUUAUUAAAAACAAGUUAUAUUGGUUCCUAAAAGAAAUUGGUCUACUUUUUUUUAAAGAUAAAGUCUGAAUGAUGCGGUCCUAUCAAAUAUCAAUUAUAGAAAAAUAAAAUUAAUGCAAGUUUAUUAGUUAUAGAAUAAAGAAAUUUGACUCUCAUUUUGUGUAAAAUAAAUUAAAUGCAAUUAAAAGUCAAUUUAUCUAUAAUAUAUAUAAAAGGUUGAGUGUGGAUAAAUUUGUUUAUGUUCCACUUUUUUUAUUUUAUGGUAAAUUUAUUUUUAAUUUUUUUUAUUAUAAGUAAUUAUAAAAGACUCACUGUCUUCUUCUACUGCUUUUUAAAUUAAUUAUAUUUAAGUUUAGUGGAAUUAAAUGGUUUAUAACGUGAAAAGUUGGAAUGCAAAUGGUUUUUCAUUUACAUUUUCAAAAAAUAAUUAAAAGUUAAAUAUGUUAUUAAUUUUAAUUAACCAUACAGAUUUAAAGACUUAAAAGUUGAAAAGUUUUUGUAAUUUUCAAAACUUCUAUAUUUAGAAGUUUAUUGAUGUAAAAAAUGUAUGCAUUUCAAUCUUAUUGUUUGAUGGGAGAGUGAAGCCUUCUAAAUUGAAUACCACCCCACAAACUUAUAUUAAAGGUGAAUUGUCUCAUUAUGCUAUUGAGAAAUUUGGAUUCAUCCGAUAGAUUGUUUAACCAGACAAGAUUGAUAUGUCGAUCAUUUAGCAAAGAAUAUUAAAAUAGCAAAUGAGUGAUCAUGCAAGAAAACUAAGUUUUUAUUCCACGAAAUGACAAUGAAUAUCUAAAGUUCAAGAGAAAACGAUUCUCCAUUUGUUUAUGCUUUGCAAUGACAAUUAACAAAGUACAAGGACAAACAAUUUAUAGUGUUGGAAUAUAUCUUCGAACAACUUCAUGUUGUACCAUUCAGAGGAAUUUAAACGAAUAUAACAAAAGUUUGGAUCAAGUCCAUAACUACUGUACAAAAAAAAAUUGUUUAUAAAUAUAUAUAUAUAUAUAUAUAUAUAUAUAUAUAUAUAUAUAUAUAUGCAAAUCUUACGUUUUAAUCUAAUUAUUGUAAUUUAUUUCCCAUGUACAUCUAAUUAUAUUAUAUUUUAAAUUUUGUAUUUUUAAAUUUAGCACAUCCUAGAUAUAUUCAUGCAAUGUCUAUAAUCUAAAACUACACAUUAUACAUGUCAUGUAGGUGCCUUUUACUAGUUAUGUAUAAGUUGGGCAAUAGGUCCAAUUAAAAUAUUUCAUUCGAUCAAAUGGUUACGAUGAAAGUACGUGAUAUAUAUCAUCUGACUUGGUCAACUUAGAUUUUUAACCAUUUAACUUUAUUGUUAACCAGGGAAGUGAUGUUACGAUACGUGAUUGGUUUAAAUUUGAUCAUUUUACGAUCAUUUUUCUUCAAAUCAAGACGAUUACGAUGAUGACGACAAUAACAUAGGCUCGAGUUGAAAAUGUGAAAUUUUAAGUUAAAUAAUAAUAUCAGUGGGGUCACGUUUGAAAAAGAUGAGAUUUUAAUUUAAAUAAUCGUGGUGUCCAAUAAAUAGUUACCCUUUUAUUUUCCAUGCAACACGUGUCGAAAUUUGGUUGGUUCUAAAGUUUGAUCAAGCAAAAUCCAUCAAGUCUUUAUUAAUUAAUAAAGUCAAUGAAGUCAUUAAUUAAUUGGUAUUUAUAAAGACAAUGCUGUUAAUUAAAAAAAAUACAAAACAAAAAGAGAGCAAAAAUAGUGGAUGACAGCUGAAGUUUAAAUCAGCAUAAAAUUUAGAUACAACGAACCAUUAGAAUAAUGUUUCAUACACUUUCAAAAUUCUAUGAAUUUAAUUUGAAGUGUGGCGUUGGCUCGAGAGAUAUCCAUUUUCUCCAAAGAAAGUAGGAGUUCGGUGGGUGAGAGAAGAAAACUUAUCUCCAACUAAUGAUGUUUGAAUGAAAAAUUUCAUAUGAGAUAACACUGCGCAACAUGUCGUGAUAUGCGAUAUGGACCAAUCUAUGCGACAAGAGUCAUAAACGAUAAAGUUAUCGAAUUUUGUAAAUGAUGUGAUAUUGAUAUUGAUUACGAGAUAAUAUUUAGUUAUGUCAAAUGUUAUAAUAUCUCAUCACAUAUGCUGACAUCCUAGGCGAGAUGAGUUACAAUAAAUAAUAUGAUUUUUAUCGCAUAAUUAAAGAAUCAAGCGUUUUAUUACCGUUUUGUAUUUAACGUUAAACGUAAUCUUUUUAUAAUUACAAACGCUUCAAAUUAAGUUCCAACGUCUUUAUUUGGUUCCUCACACUAUAUAAACUAUUUUACUUCUUUCAUUUUGUGUGAGAGAAAUCACACCAAAUACUUUCUUUCAAACCUCUUUAUGUGAGUUUUAUGAGCAAAACAAAGUUUUUUAUUUGAGUGUUGAGAUUCUGAUGGUUUCAGUGCAAAACUAAUUGAAGAAUAGUGUUGUUUUAUUAUGGGGACGACAAUACAAUAAAAUAUGUUUGUACAAAUAAGCAGAAAUGUGAAACGUCUUAAAUAGAGCAAAAUAUGUGACUCAAUCCUUUUACUUUAACUUAUUCCUGUAGUAGGUGUUUUAACCAGGCGAACUGAUCAAUAGGCAAACUGUUGAGUACAUGACUAGUCCCUACGAGUUGAUACUUAGGCGUUGUGAUAAGUAACCAAGGCGAGACAACAAACAAUCAAUUCAAGCGUUUUGAUUAAACAAGGCGAGAUACUAAAUCUUCAAGCGAAAUACAAAACGAGCUAGCAUUUGGUUUUCUAGGCAUCAAGUCUAGAGUUAAAGUUUCUCAACUUACAACUUCUUCUAGGCGAAAUGCAACAACAAGUGAGGUCGGGAUAGGAAAUACAUUAUACAUUUUCAUUGUUGUUUUUCUUUUUCUAUUUAUUUUAACUCUCCAUCUUUAAAAAAAAAACAUGUCUUAUGAAGUUGAAUUUAUGUUGAGGUUGAUUUUGAUGGAUGCCGUUUGAUCUUUUAGUACGCUUGAUUUUGAUGAAUUAUAUUUUACUCAUUCAAUCAUUAUCAUUAACUCGUUGAGUAACAUACAUGUCAAUAAAUAUGCCAAACAAGUUCUCAAUAGUAAUCGAUAAGUAACUUCGGUAUUCUCAAAGCUCAUGUUAUGUAUCUUUCAUUAAUUAAAAUGAAAAUAAAGUUUGAAAGCAACAAUAAAAAAAGAAAAACCAGUUGUCAACACUCAUCUCCUUCAAGGAAAUCAAGCCAAAAUAAGAAAAUUCAAAAGUAAUUUUUCUUUUCGUGAAUAAUUGGACAAUACAAAAUACUUAAAUAAUUUACUUUCAAAUAAUACAUACAUUAAACAGAGUCAAUGGCUAAAACAUGUAUAGCUAAAUUAUGUUAAUCUUGAGAGACGAAACACCAUUAUUUCGUAUAAAUACAACCGCGGAUCUUAAAUUUUAUAUAUGAGCACUCGACACUAUAUAAUAAACAUACUAAAAAAAUGUAAAAAAAUAUUUUGACGUUUGUCUGAUACUUCAAUAACAUUAACUAGCAAUAAAGAAAGAUCGACAGUUUUCACAUGAUUUUUUGUAAGGUAAAUACGUAGAUUUAAAAAUUGCAUAAAAAAAAAGAGUAAUAUACCCAUGACUUUGUUUUACCGGACACAACUACUCUACAAAAACUAAAAUUUACCUAAGUUAAAAUAUUAUUUAAUAUAUAUUGUAGUAUGAAACUUUAAAAUUAAUAUUAAAGUACAAAAACCGAGAAUGUGAAGGAGUACGUGCUCCUUUAGCCCUUUAAUAAAUCCAUCCGUUACUUUAAACGCGUAUAUUAAAUUUAGUUAGAACUCUAUUACAUUUCUAUGGUUACAUUUUAGAAAUAUAUUUACUUAUACACUAAUAUACGUUAUGUGUUUAUUAUAAUUUUUUUUAUUUAAAACAUAUUUUAAAUAAAAAUAUUUUUUUUAGAAAAAUAACUAUUUAAUAAACUAUUUACAAUCAACAAAACCAGUGAAAUACAAAAAUAAAAAAUUGUCUAAAAUAAAAAAUUUAACAAAAUAUCUAUAACAAACAGCAAAAUUUUCAUAUUCUAUCAAUAAUAGAUGUUGAUUUACACUCACAUAGACCGUGAUAAAUAUUUGUAUGAUUGAUAUUAAAAUUUGUUAGCUAAAUAUUUUUUACCAUUUUAUAAAAUAUAGUUUUAUCGGAGAAAAAGAGAGAAUUUAAAUGUUCAAUUCUGAUUGGCCGAAGAUCAGGUUUGACGUACAAGCCACAAUACGCUACAACACAGCAGAUCACAGCUCUAUGUUGUCGUCUUCGUCUUCCCCUUCUCGCUGUGUUUGCUUGUCUGGAGCUUCGUGUGUCGAUCACAAUCCUCACAACCUUCUCUUUCGCACUGUUCAUUCUCAUCCUACUAUCUGCGAGCUGAAUUUCCUUAUCCCUUUCAACGAAUUCGAACAAAAGUAUCUCAAAUUCGUCAAUUCUUAAACUCUAGGGUGAUUUUGGAGCAUCAUCAAAUGCAUCUUCAAGCUCAAAUUCUCACCAAUCAGUUUGUACCUUCCAUUGUUCCUUUAAAAUCAACUUCGAAAUCCCCAUUCGCUCACCCAAAGGGAUGCCGUUUCCGUGAAGUUUCGUAUCGGGCUCUGAAAUGUUCUGUUGCGACGAUUUCCGAGUCGGCCCCGACGGAACUGCGGAAUGUGAAGCCGUUUCCGGCUGAGGUUUCGAGGACGAUCAUGGAAUUGUCUUCUGUUGGAACGCUUUCUUCUUUGAGCCAAGAGGGAUGGCCUCUUGGUGUUGGCGUUCGUUUCGCUGUUGACCAAGAUGGUACGCCUCUUUUGAGCUUGAAUGAAUCUUUGCCGGAGUUCUCUAUCGAUGGGAGGUCCAGCCUCCAUGUUCAGGUUAUUCAUUCUAUUGGGUUACUAUUGAUAAUGUAAAAUUUUGUGUGGAUAGAUACAUCAUAUGUCAAGGCUCCAGUUGGGGUUUUGAGAAAAUGAAAAUGAAAUCUCUGAAACUAUAUAAGUUGGCUUCGUUUGCUUUCGAAUUCAUGAGUUGAAAGUUGUCUAUGCAUUGAAGGAAUGUGUAGUAUAUGCUCUUAUAGUCUAAUACUGAACAUUGAAAUGUUUUCCAAACGAUGUAAAACCGCUCAUGUUUGCCAUUUUUCUUUCGAGCAGUUGGAGCAGUGUGGAUUGCGGACUCCUCAGUGUACAAUUCAAGGAAGUAUUGGCAAACCAGACAAUAAAAUGGCUUUGAAGGUACAAAUAUCUCAAAUUGUAGGAUACAAAUUCCUUUUAGCAUUUUGGACCCUUCAAUCCCAAGGGAGGAGUUUAUUUCCGUGGAGCUAUGCUCACUUUCAACAUUAUUUUAGCAUUUUUGAGGAACCAUUAAUCGACCUAUACGAUUGUGCAUUUAACAACAAUUUAUGCUUAUGGUGGGAGAAUACUUUUUAUAAUGUUCACAUACUUUUAUGCAUAACUUGGUCCAACGCUCAAAGAGACCCGCAAAUCUGAUGCCUUUCUGGAUCAAUAUAGGAACUUUACAAAAUAUAAAAUUUGCAAAGAGGAUGAUAUGUUGAUUGCAAAAUCUUUUCCAAAGUCCUAAAAAAGGUUGAGAUGCCUUUUAACCUGUACAUUUCUGAAGAAAUCCUCUUCAGUGUUGUCGACUCCCUUACAGUGGGGUUGAAUGGUAGCUGUUAAGCCUGUUAUCCUGGGGUGCAAGGUUCAACUUCUCAUUUCAUACCUGUGGAAUGCCUUCGGUGGAAGGUGAAAGAAACUAGAAUUGUGGAAUCCAACUACAAGAAGGCAUUUGUAGAAGUUGGAUGCACUGUAGGAAGAACUUUUGUCAUUCAAAAGGAGGUUGUUUUUGCUAAAUUUACCUGAAAAAAGAGAAAGGAGGUCGCUUAACCAAAACUACCUAUAUAUAAAAGGAGGUUUCUACUCAAAGUCAAGAUAUUUUCCUUUUUUUAGGAGCGAGGAAGGGUUGAUCAUUUAGGAAGUUGAAACACUGCUUUGAGAAGCCUCUAGAAGGCAGGAUUGGAGACAGGCAAUCUUAGAGAAAUAAUGGCUACUUAGUACGUGACUUUGGAGUUAUCCAAGAGUUGGAAAAACAUCGAGAAAUGAAGUGGUUACUAGCAUUUAUGGUAAGGAAGAAGUAGUGGUUCACAAAAGCUAGGAAAUGCAUUUUUGUUUUUGUUUUUUUUUUUAAGCCUCCGGUGGAAAAUUACAAAAUUACUUGAUCAUAUAUUGACUUCUCAGUAAUAGAGUUAGGAAAUGAUGAAUGGACUUCUUCCACUUGGAAUCACAUCUGGGUAGGAAAGCACUUGCUGUCUUGUGGCUUCCCUCGAUGUUUUGUAGUGGCCUGGCCCAACCUGAAAAUGUUUAUACUCAGGGCCAAUGCGAAGAUAGUACCAAAUGAUGGAAGCUAGAGGAGGAAAACAAGAGAGAGGUUUGGUUCAAAUUCUGUGUAAUGGUCCAUAGCCUGCUAGUUUGGAGACCAAAGGAGUUGGGGAUUACAUCUUUCAGUAAAAUUGCGGGGAAACACAAUGCUCAAAGAAUCUAAAAUUUCUGCCUAUGGACCAUUGAGUCGUGUAGUAAAUGUUGGUGAUAGAUUGCAACAGCCUGCCUGGUUCUGAAUCGAAGCCAUUGUGGUGUUAUGCAUGAAAGAUGGGGUGGAUCAAACAAACUUUUCCUUCAUUGUUCCACUGGCUCCUUCAAGCCACACAUACACCCAAAAUCUCAUCUUCACUUGAUAUUCUCAUCCCCUCUCAUUCUGGAACUAUGAGAUGUUGCAAGUGUUUUUCAAAUUUUUGUUAUCUUCUCAUUAAUGUACAAGUAAUUUUGUAGCUUUUGGAUUUUUAUUCGAGCUACUAUUCAAUAACUUUCGAACGACGCAUGCAUUGAUUAUAUUUAUGGCAUUGGAAACGUUAUGUUAUUGUUCAGUACUAUCCUCAUAGGAUUGGAUCAACUCUCUAUUAAAUGUUAAAUGCCAUGUUUUUCAGCGGCUUCAUACUACAUGGAGAAAGAGAUUUGGAGAAGACAUUAACGAAGAUCUUCUAUAUAUUGUUGCUGUGGAGAGGGUACUUCAGAUAGAUGACUUUGGGGAGGUACAGACGCCAUUUUCUGCACUUUUUUAAAAUUAAUUUAUUUAAAUGCAAUGUCUAACCACUAAUCAUUGACACUAAUCAUUGACCAGUUUCAAUGCAAUAAAAUGAAGAUAUGUUCGUUUGAAUAUUAUUCUAACAUUUUAUACGAUUUCAGGUUGGUGUUUGGGUAAACUCUUCAGAUUAUAUAACUGCAAGCCCAGAUCCUCUUCGAAAUUGUGCUGAAAAGCUAGUGGACGACAUAAACACAAACAACUCCGAAGAUGUUAAUCGAUUUUGCAACAUAUAUGCUGAUUUGAACUUACAGGUUAGCAUUGAACCUCAUUUAUCUAUACAGUCGCUUCAGCAUCUUAUUUGAUUCUAAACUUAGUAGGAGAUUGGAUUUAACUUUUAGUUUAUUUCUUUUCUAGCCUACUAACAGCAGACGGAGCCUCCUUGAUCUUUUUCUUUUAUUCUUCUGAAAUAUUUAUCAUUCUACAAGGCUAGAGGAAAGGAAACCACGCCUAAUAGAACCAACGUCAUCUGUUCCACCCGUCCCCUCUAAUAGAGUUGACCCCCUCUUCAAUCACAUCAAACUGCAGCUCAGCAACUUCUGAUUUCUAUAAUUUUGCAUCUCAAUACAUUAGCUCUAUAUCUUGAAACCUGACAUUCUUAUAAGCUGAUAACUUUUUGUAUAAUAUGGAUACAAUCCGAACCUUGAAGUAAAACAAAUCAGACUUUAUAAAUCGACUUGCUCAGUUUUGUCGAAUAUCGUUUUCGAGGAAUCUUUAUUGGUGAAUGUUGAAAUGAUGGAGUAUAUGUUUGAAUCUACUGUGGGAUAGAACUUAGAAGUUGGAUUUGAACAUUGCUUCAUUUCUGAGGCGUAAAAGGGUUUUUAUGAUGUAUUAAAAACUUAAAAUGAUACAUUUAUUGAGACUCUUUUCGUGGUCAUGUUUUGUUAUUCCAUUAUUUCAUUUCUUUAAAAAGAGUUUGUUUCCUAUAAAAAAAAGUUACAUGUAUUGAGAAUCUGAGAUAUCUUCUCAAAUAUCUCAAUAUUCUCUCUCACCUCUUGUGCCAUUCUCACUCUUCUUCGUUUUGCUUGACAGUUUACAGAAGCAAAACUGAUCUGGGUAGAUCGGUUAGGCUUCGACGUUCGCAUAUUCUCUCCUCAAAAUGGGAUAUUUGAAAUCCGAAUUCCGUUUCCUAGAGAAGUUACAGAUGAGAAAGGUGCGAAGUCAACAUUUAAUGGCAUGUCCCAACAAGCUUGGGAGGUGGAAAAGAAUUUCGUGGCUCCAGAUUUUGAGAGAGUGAAGCAAUUCAAGAUGAUAAAAUCAUUGCAUAGUGUAGAGUAAAACUUUUAUCAUUUAUGAAAGAGCUUGAGUGUUGCUUUAAGGUGUGAGAAUGAGAAGUUUAGUUAUAAGGUAUGAGAAUGAGAAGCUUAGUUAUGUCAUAACCCAGGGUAGAACUGAAUGAAUAUUCUUGUUUCUUAUAUUCAAUUUUUCUUAGCAAUAUAUUUGAGGUUUGAAAUGUGAUUUUAACGGUCUCUAAGCUCGUUUGACAAAUUUUACUCAGCAAACGUGACAAAUUUUAAAUUACUUUACUAGAGUCUUUAUCGUGGCUCUAUAGAAACCUAAAAAUCUCGUCGACUUUUUUUUCAAUAACAAAUGUGGUUAAAUUUUGGUCAAUAAAAAACAAAACCUGUUUGUAUACCAUUUUGUAACAUUGGUAUGAGAGGAAUUUACUAAAUUGAAUGCUUACAAUAAAACCUACGAAAACCUAAAUUAAUUUUAUUCGAUUUUAUUUAUUAGCCAUAGUAGAUAAUUUAAAUUAAUUUUAAACAAUAAAAAAUCAAUGGUUGGAUUGAAUUAGGUUGAACACUUGAUCGAGUGUUUUCGAGUUAAUCCUAAAAAUUAACUCCAAACGAACUCAGGCAGAAAAGGGCUAAUUAUAAUUAGCACAUAGGGCUAAAUUUUAAAUUUAUCAAAAUUGUAGGAUCAAAUAUACAAUUUAACAAAGGAAAAGAAAAUAAAAUAAUGAAACAGAAAAAAUCGGGGGUUCAAAGAAGCAACUCCACUUGUUCUCCUCGUUCCUUCCACUCAAUCGCGCGCCCUAUCUCAUCGCCGUCGCCGAAAUAGGUACGUUUUCCUUCCACAUUCUUCAUCGAUUGCGCGCGGUUGGCUUUUGCUUCGUCGGACUCCCUCCAGAUCUAGGGUUUGCUCUCUUUGCCGAUCUGUUUACUUUUUGGUUCCUGGGAAAUUAAGGGAUUACUCUAUCAUCUGCUGUUCUUUAAUUUUCCUGGAAACUACAAGGAUUAAUCUUCGUUUUUAUGUUCUGUGUUCGCCCUAACAACUAUCAGGAAAUUACUGGCGGAACUCAAUCUUCUUCAAACGAGCGAGGAAUUUCUUGUUGGGAAUUGGGUAUUUGAACGUUUGAGAUUUUAUACACAUUGAUUUGUUUGGGUAAAGUUUGGUGUGUUGUUAUUGGAAUUUCUUCCAUCUAUCCAAGGUAUUAGAAUGGUGGUGUGAAUUUUGAUGUCGUGGAGGCCUUGGUGGGUUGAUUUGAUUUAGUUUUUCUUUUGGGGGGGAAUUUAAGGGUUUAAUAUCUGCGCAAACCUAAUAAUCGAGGAGAAUUAGGUUUGAUGGCUGAUCGUAAUUUGGUUGUCGCAAAACCAAUCUGGAUGAAGCAGGCUGAAGAGGCUAAACUUAAGAGCGAAGCUGAGAAAGAUGCAGCGGCUAAAGCUGCUUUCGAAGCUACUUUUAAAGGCGUAGAUAAGAUUCCUGCAAAAGAAGCAGCAUCCUCAGAUAGUGAUUUUGAAGAUAAUGAGGAUUUGGAACGCAAGCCAAUUGGGCCUGUGGACCCUGCUAGAUGCACAGCAGCUGGAGCAGGCAUAGCUGGUGGUGCCGCGUGUGUGCCAGCAUCCUUUACUGUGGUAACCAAGGAUGUCGAUGGAAGGAAAGUUCCCCAUGGUGGUGCACUAAUUAAAGUAAAGGUGGCUCCUGGCGUAGGUGUUGGUGGAACCGAGCAAGAUGGCAUUGUGAAGGAUAUGAAUGAUGGUACAUAUACGAUCACUUAUGUGGUGCCAAAAAGAGGAAAUUACAUGGUUAAUAUUGAGUGCAACGGAAGACCCAUCAUGGGUAGUCCAUUCCCAGUGUUCUUUAGUGCAGGUACUCGAUUGCAGUUUUAUUGUCUCUAGUGGUUUAAAGUUUGAUUAAUCUAUUGAGUGCAUAGAAUACCUUAAGUCCUGAAUGUUUCGUGCGAUAGUUAGAAUUAACUAGGAUAGUUUGAUGAUACAAACUUAUUGUAUGAUUAUGCCUCCUCAAUCCCCUGCCCCGUAGUUGUUGUAUGAUUAUGCUUCAUGAAUAUGAAUGAAGGAGUUGGAGAAGAAAGAUAAUGCAUGUGAAUGCCAAUAGAGGGAAAAGAGAAGCUUCUAACUCUGUUAAUUGGAAUGGAUGGGCUGACUGGGGAACCAGGUGGGUGGGCGGUGUGGCAAUGCUCUUUCCCUUCUUUUCAUGUGAUUUUUGUCAUAGUUCUUUAGAUUUAUGGAUCUGAAAGUGAAAUUAAAAUGUACAGGGGGAAGGGGAAAAUAAAUAGUUGGUAUGAAUACUUAUUAGAUGUUGAUAACUUAUUUCCUAGGAUUUCUUGCUUUGCUCUCCCUCAUUUCUAAUCGAAUCAUCCGUUCUAUCCACUUUGCAAUGCAAUGUUAUCUGAUGAUUUGGCAAUUUGUUCUACGUCACCAACCAGGGACAAGUUCAGGUGGACUCCUGGGAUUAGCUCCGGCAUCCUCAUUUCCAAAUUUGGUGAAUCAAAAUAUGCCCAAUAUGCCUAAUUACUCCGGGUCUGUUUCGGGAGCAUUUCCUGGGCUGAUGGGAAUGAUUCCUGGCAUUGUAGCUGGUGCUUCUGGUGGUGCUAUCUUGCCUGGAAUUGGAGCAUCUCUUGGAGAAGUAUGUCGAGAAUACCUUAAUGGUCAGUGCGCGAAAACAGAUUGCAAGUUAAAUCAUCCACCUCACAAUUUGCUCAUGACUGCAAUAGCUGCAACAACCAGUAUGGGAACUAUCAGUCAAGUGCCUAUGGCCCCUUCUGCUGCUGCUAUGGCAGCUGCUCAGGCUAUUGUUGCUGCCCAAGCCCUUCAAGCCCAUGCUGCUCAAGUGCAAGCUCAGCAAGCUCAGUCUGCAAAAGACUCUUCUGGUAUUCUUAGUUUUGGGAUAAUUUAUGCUUCUUUUUUUAUUUUGGUUCCCUUGUGUACUGUCAUUAACUUGUAGACUGCUAAUCUAUAUAUUUUUUCCCUAAUGAGCUUCUGGUUAUUUAUUGAUGUUUCUCUGGCAAGGUUCAUCUGACAAAUCUGGAAAGGCUGCUGAUGCACUGAAGAGAACACUGCAAGUUAGCAAUCUUAGCCCACUUCUCACCGUGGAACAACUGAAGCAGCUUUUUAGUUUUUGUGGAACUGUUGUUGAAUGUACCAUUACUGAUUCAAAGCAUUUUGCUUACAUAGAAUACUCAAAGCCCGAAGAAGCUACUGCAGCUUUGGCAUUGAACAAUAUGGAUGUUGGAGGUCGACCUUUAAAUGUAGAGAUGGCAAAGUCACUUCCACAGAAACCAGCUGCCGCGAACCCUUCACUUGCUUCAUCUUCUCUGCCCAUGAUGAUGCAGCAAGCUGUAGCCAUGCAACAAAUGCAAUUCCAGCAGGCUUUGUUGAUGCAGCAAACUAUGACAGCUCAGCAGGCUGCUAAUCGUGCAGCAACUAUGAAGUCUGCAACAGAGUUGGCAGCAGCUAGAGCAGCAGAAAUAAGCAAAAAACUUAAAGUUGAUGGAAUUGGGAAUGAAGAAACUGAGACAAAAGAAAAAUCAAGGUAUGCUGUACUGAGAUCCCUAAUCCUUCACCCUCAGCUAUAAAUAAAAUAAUUAGCUAAUUCCCUGCCUCUAGCUAUAAAAUAAAAUAGGACAAAGGACCUCAGGGUUCUUGAGUAAAUUCAAGAGUCUUGAAUUUGCAAGCAAUGAGCAUUGGUGGCUUAGCUUAAUUCAUUCCUUUAUUGAAUAAUACCAACCCCAUUAUUCUUUUGAAAUAUACCACAAAUGCAUUUUAUCUUCUCUUUUCACCACAUGUUUGAUUUGGUAGGAAGGAAACUGCUCAUGAACUUGUAUGUAUUUUUCUUGAGUUGUAUGUCAUGUGUAUAAAGUCCAGGUUCUAUCCUCUUUGAAUUUAGUUUGUUUCAUCUUAACAGGUAUAACUUUGAUUUUCCCCUUUUAUUUGUAGAUCGCCUUCCUUGCCCAGGGAGAGGUCAAAAUCCAAAUCAAAAUCACCUAUCAAGUACCGAAGCAGGCGGAGGUCUCCAACUUAUUCACCUCCGUAUCGUCACUCAAGAGAUCAUAGAUCUAGAUCACCAGUGAGAUCUCGCCACUAUUCUAGGUACGAAGACGAUAGGAGGGGUUAUAGAGAAUCGAGAGAAGCGAGUGAAAGAUCUAGAAGGCGUGAUCUAGAUAGAUCAAGAAGUCGUCGUUCACCCAUCUCAAGGAAAAAUAGAAGUAGAAGCAUAAGUCCUCGCAGAAGAAAAUCAUACAGAGCAGGUUCUGAUUCUCCUAGUCACCAACGGGAGCGUUCACCACAAAGAGGUAGGAAAUCAGAUCAUUCUGAUUUAAGGUCACCUAUUCGCCAUCAUGGGAAAAGCAGAUCAUCCCCAAGAAAGGAUGACAGUGACAAACUAAAACAUAGAAGACGGUCAAGGUCUAAAUCUGUCGAGACGAAGCAUCAUUCUGAUGAAAAAAUUAAUGAAAUGCAACAUGGAAAAUUGAAAAAUCGGGAAAGAAGGCGAUCAAGAUCUGCUUCUCUGGAAGACAAGCAUAGUAAAAGAAGACCCUCGCCUAGAAGCCUGGACAAAAACAUUUCUAAACAUAGAAGGCGUUCUAGAUCAAACUCUAGGGAAAAGGUUGAUGAUAAAUAUCAUGGUAGAAGGCGUUCGCGGUCAAGUUCUUCAGAUAGCAAACAUCUCCCUGAUAGUAAGGUGGAUAGCACUAGAUAUGAAAAACUGAAAAAUCGUAGCAGAAGAAGAUCCAGGUCAAAGUCUGUAGAUGGUAAGCAUCGCAGGAGGGAGAAAUCAGAUAGAAGCAGAGACAAAAGGUUGAGGCAUCGUGAUAGAAGGUCAUCCAGAUCUAUAUCUCCUGAGGCUGGACAUCAACGAGUGACCAGGCUGUCUCCUACCAGUUCUGAUGAAACCAAAUCAAAACGUAGAAGGAGAUCACUCUCUCCUGAAGAUAAGCCUAGUGAUAUAGAUAAUGGAUGCAUAGCUGAAAAUCCAAAGAAUCUUGGGAGACAGCAGUCUAGAUCAAAUUCAAUUUCAGGAGAAAAUGGUGAAAGUAAUUUAUCUCCAAGUACAGAGGAAAAUGAAUUUAAACAUGGUGAGCAGUCAAUACUAGAACCUCUAGGAGGUAAGUACAAUUAAAUUAAAGGAUCUAAUAUAUCAAAAUGUGGAUGAACAAUUAAAUAGUUAUGAACAUAUAAACAUUGAUGAAUAUAGAUUAAUGUUUUCAGGGCAUGGAUCUAGUCUCUCAAAGGUUAUAGAAGAUAUACCAGGAGAUGAUAAGGGUAGAGAAGGGUUAACUUCCCAAUAUUCUAAUGUUGAGGAACCAAACAAAACCGAAGUGGCUGGUGUUGAGCAAGUUGAUUUAGCUGGUAAGAUCAGCAAAUGCGUUUCUUUUGGAUUUCCCUUUCCUGAUUGCAAUGAUAUUUACGCAAAUAGGUUCUUGGGUGUUAACACAGGAAGUUAGAGUUUAAUGGAGGUUGUAAUUUUGCAAGUUCUCCUUGGAUAAUGCUGACAGAAGAGGCUCAAUAUCACCUUAAUACAGAUGCAAUUUCUGGUGAUUGACGUUCAGGAGAUGAAGUUACAUUCAAAAUUUGUCAUGGAAAUGCUUUACUGUAACUCAUGAAUCACAUGAUUAGAAGACUGUUGCGGACUUGAAUACCUUGAUAACCUAGGACAAAUUUCAGGCUGGCUUGUUGGCGCAUUCAAGGGCACCCAUUGCUUCAUUUGAGAAAGGACUACUUGAUUGAAGAUUUGUUUCCAUUUCUUUGGGUGCUCAGAAAAUUCUGAUUUUUAGUUUUCAUCCAGCUCUUUUGUCUUUGGUUAUCUUUUGCAGGUUGGCAGGCUAUAGUCUCUUAGACUCUUUCAGUUGAUGUUGGUCUGCUUUAAGCGUUUGAAGUAUUGCUGUCCUUUUGUCUACGAGACAAGACACCCUGAAUCUGUAUCGAGCUUCUUUUACUACUUGAUGUAUGUUUAACUAUGACCUUCUUUUACAUGGUGAAUUUUCGAUAGAAUUGUCUAUUUGAACGAGAAUUGUUAACUUAGGAAUCAAAGUAUGUUGGUAUUUUCUCUUUUAUAUUUUGUUUUUUGUUUUUGGGUGCUGAAAGGCUAACCAUGGUUGGGACUAAAGAGUUGAUCUCAUUUUGAGUUCCAAGUUAAUAUUUCCUAGGGUUCCUCCUAUACACAAUCAAAAUACCUCUUGUUUUAGGCUAGAAUUUUUAGUGCUCACACUAGAAGUUCUUUUGAUGUAGCCGCUGCAUGGGUUUCAUUUUAAUAUCCAUUUGAAUGGGCGUUGGACCUGUUCUAUCCAAUAUACAUGCAGGUUAUUCGGGGUGAUUGUCAUUGGAGGUUUGUCAGGGUUGAUUUUCUCUUGUUUACACGAAGGUAUGCUUUUGCAGUGGGAAGUUAUUAACAGCAACCUUCCAUUUAACUCCUGGAUCAUUUACACGAUGAUUAGUAUAUUUUGGAACAUUAUUCUUUUUUUUACGCAGUACAAUUUGCUCUGGUGCUGUUGUCUUCUUCCCUCAUAUCUCUUCUUUCUUCUUUCUUUUUUUUUUUUUCCUUUUUUUCCUCUUUCCUCUUUUCCUCCAAUCUCCAAAAUUUUAUUUCGUUAGGCAAAGGUAUCAUUAAAGGUCGGUUGAAACCAGAUGUUGCUGAGAUAAAUUGCAUCAAAAUUUCCUCCUUCUGGGUAUGAUCAGAAUGGCUGACUCACUUGGAAGCAUUUUAUUCACGGUGAAUUGCAAAUAUAUAUAUGGCAGGUAAUCUUGUAUGCAACUGCUUGGUUGAAGAUAUUUAUAGGGGAAUCUAUAGGUUUGGACUCCAUUAUUUUGGUGGAUUUGUUCAUAAAAAUAAAAUAAAAUAAAAUAAGCGGUAUAUGAUCAAAGUGAACCUUUUACUCACAAUGGUGACUUCUUUGAGGGGAUAGGAAAGUGCAUGUUGGACAAUGAGUCUACGAUGCUACUCUUAAUGGCUACAGGUUUUCUUUUCUUUUAAUAACUUCUUUUGUAGCUCUGAUGUCUUUGACUAAUAAAUAGUACUCCUGAGUUUAAAAAGUAACCAUCCUGAUCCAUGAAAUUGAUUGUUGAUUGUUUGUGGGAGAAUAUUAGUAUAAGCUACACAAAUGGUGUAUCUGAUUGCUGGUUGCUUGUAGUGUAGUAGUGAUAGAUAUUGGUUUGGGUAAUAACAUAAUGUUUAGUCAUUUUCUCUCCUCCCACUCCACUUCUCCUGGUCUUUCCUUUUCAAGUAAUUUCUUGGUAGGAUAACCUGCAAAACGACGGUAUGAGAGCUGCAGUCUUUGAUUUCGAACUCGGGUUGCGACUUGGAUGAGGUGGAUGUCAAUGUCUUAGUUUGUGCUCGGUCUAAUGUUUCUGAAGGAACUGAGAACCAAGCUAUAGUGUGUUGAACCUCACAGCUUGUGUCUUCAUCAUGUUUAUGUCAACCUGGCUAGGAUAGGUUAGAAUUUUUUGCAUCAAUUUUGAAUAGUUGGGAUUAAAGAAAUCCAGAUUCUUUCUUGUUCUGGAUUGAUUAAAUUUGAGAUUUAUAAACUAGUUUUCAUUUUACAUUUAAUUUCUUAAAGCAAUGUUUAGCUUCAGGAAUGCUUCUGAUGCCAAUAUUUGUGUCAUUACUACCAAUAGCCAAAUCUAGCAAACAAAUCAAAGUACUUCUCUUUCAUCUCUGUUUAAAAUUUCCGAAGAACAUUGAAAAUAACCUCUAAAUGCUUACUGUUUAUGCGUUUUUUUUUUUUUGUUAUGUUUUUCUUUUUUAUUUAUUACUAUUUCUCUGCAGUUUGAGUUUUUGAUUCUUUGACUGAAUCUUUUUUAAUGAAUUGGUAAUUGUUGGAUGGAUUGUUUAUAUCUCAUCCUUUUUUCCGUGAUUCCAUCCAUCUUCUAAAUGUAAAUAAUUUUUGGUCUUAGGCCUCUAGAUUCUUUCAACAUUUUUACUAUUUUUACUGUUGAAAUUCUUAUGGGAGACCUUUUUGAUGGCCCUAAUAUGUCAUCUAAAUAACCUCAAAUCCUAUCUAUGGAAGAUUAAGAUCUUUCUUUGGGAGUUUCUGUCAGAGUUUGGUGUUUGUUUUCAUGGCGAAUGCCUUAAUUAACGAUCUUUCUCUAUUUUGAUGUAUUGUGUGUGCAAUGAGCUUUGAGAUUUUGAAUCACUCUUUUGUGCUCGUUGAUCCUGUGUUGCCAUAUAUUGAAAAACGGUUCUUGGAUCCCUUCGUGUGGUUGAUGAAAAUUAGUUAAUAAAUUUUGUUUCUCUUUUAAAAAAAAAGAAAAGUUAAUAACUAAUCUUCAACAUACCAUUCUCUCAUUUGGGUAUGGCCUUUUUUUCUCCUUCUAAACCUCUAGUGACGAUGGGUUCAUCUUACAAAAAGUGGGAAGAAAAAAAAUUACUCGAUGUUAAAUCAUAAUAUUGUUUUAGUUGCAUUAUUGCAUGAUUUUCUUGUGACACUAAAAUUCUUAAUUCAUCAAUUAAUGUUUUAAAGUUAAAAUGAUAUUAGCAUGCUUUGCAAUAGGAAAUUUUCGCCUUUAAAGCUCUACUUAACUAUUAUAUUUGACAUUAUUGGAUUACAAAAUUUAUUUUGUUCACGAGUAUUUUAAUGCUACGAAUGUUACCAUAUCGUUUGAUGAUAUUGAUAUGCCUUAAUAAAUUGUAGGGAUUUUCGGUCUUUAAAAUUCGAAUUAACUGUUUUUGCACGUUAUUAAAUCACAACAUUUAAUAUUAGGGGAAUGGUAAAAGAUAAUAAAUUUGAUAAAAUGUUUUAAUAAAUUGUAGGAAUUUCGGUCUUUAAAUUUCGAAUUAAUUGUUUUUGCACAUUAUUAUAUCACACUAUUUAAUAUUAGGGAAAUGGUAAAAAAUAAUAAAUUUGAUGAAAUAUUUAUGAACAAAAAUUAUAACUUCAAAGUAUUUUAAUUUAUUUUUCUAAAAAUGCUUAAUAAUAAUUAAUAAUGAAUUUGGAAAUUUUCGUCUUUAUAACUCCACUCUACUUUUUUUUUAUAUACUAUUAGGUUACAAUAUAUAUAUUUGAUUUCUUUAUUAUAAGAUAACGAUAAUAAACGUUUUUUUAAGAGUAACAAAUGUUAUUGACUAACAAGAAAUAAAUGAAUAAUAAAGGCUCUAAAUUAAUUAUUUCAAAGGGGCAUUUUUUACAAACGAUAGUAAAACCACGGAGGCUACUUAGCUAUUAUAUUUAAUUUUUUGGUUAUAAAUAACUCUUCUAAUUUUCAGUUACUUUCUAUAAUAAAAUUACAUCUUACAGACUACAUUUAAUUUGAAUCGAGAUUAAUUAAUUAUGAGCUAAAUAUUGAAAUUUUAGAAUAUUUUUUAUAAAAAAAACUAUUAAUUUAUAUAUUUAUAAUAAUUGAAUUAUCUCCUAUGUUAUGUUAGGUUAAGUUCAACUAUGAUAAAUAUAUUAUAACUUAUUAGAGAAGCUUUCAUUUUAUCAUUAUAGGAUCAAUUUAAACAUGUCGGAGCUUCAUAUUGUUUCACUCACCUAUCAUAUAUACAUGUAAAAUUCAACGAAAAAAAUUCUAAUGUUAGAUCUCAAACGUGAAAGAUGAAAAUUGUUUACUACUUUUUAGAACAAAGAUGAUCAUAUCCUUAACAUGAUUCAAAAUAUCGUUAAAAAGAAAAACAGAUGGAUGAAAAGAUUGGUGCACGCCCAGUGGGACUCGAACCCACAAUCGCCUGAUUAGAAGUCAGACGCCUUAUCCAUUAGGCCAUGGGCGCUUGCAUCCUUUCAUAUUCACAUGAGAUGUUCUUAAAAAACUUGUUGAUAUUUUUCUUCUUAAGAUCCAAAUAAGGAGGGAGGAUGAGUGGAUGGAUUUAAACCUUUGUUUUAAGAAUUAUCUAUAUAUGGCAACACAGGAUUGUUAAAUCUUAUAAGCCAGAUUGAUACAAAAGGCAAUCAAAACUCUAAAAUUGUUGCAUUCUAACACAACCACUAACAACUUUAUAAAUCUAAUGUGCUAAUUAGUAAUCGCCAACAACUUUUAAGAAAUUGUUAGCAUUUAAAUCGAAUAAACAAAAUUGAAUUGUUGGUUUAGACAAUUGUUUUUAGUUCAACAAUUAAGUCAUCAAUAACAUUUGAAAUGAUAAUUGAUUUCUUAUUCAUCAAAUUAAAGUAAACAAUAUUUAUAUAAACAAACAUUUUACACCCAUAUUGUCAAAUCUCAUCUAACCCUUCAAACAAACCUUUUACAUGCACAUUGACAAAUCUCAUCUAACCCUACAACCAUUAGGUAUUAAACAAACUAGUAGAUUGAUAUAAAUUAAACUUAUACACUUUAUUUUAUUAAACUUUUGACCACGUUUCGAUCAUCAUGUCAAAUCCAUACCGACACACAUUUGAAAAUUUGUUUUUAAGAUUGGAUUGAUAUCCCAUUGAAAACCUAAACGUCCAAUUUUCAUACCAAUGUGUAUAUAACUAACGAUAUAUUUUCAAAUGUCUAAGUUGUAGAGGAAGUUUGAAUUCCCACCCAAAUUAUAGAGAGAAGCGAAACGGGGUCGUAGUUUCUUUCAGUUUCGUUGCAAUAAAUAACAAAGAUAGCAAGACGUAACUGCAAAAGAAACGCGGGAUUCGGUGGCGGAAGUUUUAAAUUGUGGACAAUAUUUUUUUUUUUAUCAAAUUAAAAUAACCAUUUAAUAAUAAUAAUGAUGGUGAUGAUGAUAAUAAUAAAAGGAAAAAGAAAACAAAAAUGUAACGGACUCACCGUUCGCCACUUAGCGCUCCCAAUUCCCACAUUCCCUUUCUCUCUCUCUCUUCUCCUUUUUCCCUCCGUUUCAUUUCCAUUCGCUUUCCGAUCCGAUUCGUUCCUUCUUCGAUCUCCAGCUUCAAAAUCCAUCAGCAAUUGAUGUUAUGAAGGUCAGGUUUCCGCCAUUUUCUGUGUGUCUGCAGUUAUCUUUUAAUUCUAUUCACAAUCAUAACAUUAAUUUCAUAUAUAUAGAUAUAUCUAUAAUAACAAUGCAUUAUUCGUUGUUUUUUCUUUCUCCGUAAUGCAAUUUCUUGAUGUUCAAUCCUUCGCAGGAACUAACCGGUUCGUCUAUUUCGGCAUUGAAAGAUUAUCUCUGAUUAUCUUUCUUUUCCGUUUCUAUAAGCUAUGGGAUUAUCUUCCGAUAACAUCCAUGGCCUCAUUCUUGCUGUCUCUUCCAGUAUCUUCAUAGGUAGUAGCUUCAUUAUCAAGAAGAAAGGUCUUAUGAAAGCCGGUGCUUCUGGAACCAGAGCAGGUUUGGUUGAACGUUUUUAUUAAUCCUCUUUUUGGAAUAAUUUCGAUUUAAUUAAUGGUUGAAUUUCGUGUUUGUGUAAAAGUUGAAGCGAUUAAGUUCGUGAUUUAACGUAGGGCUUUGUAUGUAGUUAGAACCGAUGUUUUGAUAAUUUGUAGAUUUUAGUUGUAUUUCUUCUUGUUUUAUUGAACUUGUUUUCAUGUGACCAGGUUCUGGAGGAUAUUCGUAUUUGUAUGAACCUAUGUGGUGGGCUGGGAUGAUAAGUAGUAAGUUUCUUCUUCAUUCAUUUCGUUUCUUAUUCAUAUUGUUAUCACGUUCAAACCUCGAAUUGCUAAAACUAGCCGCCGUUCUCAAGAAAGCAUUACCACAUGCACUAGCACUUGAACUUGAAUUUUUGUUUGAUGAAUUUUCAAACUCUGCUCGUGUGUGUUUGUUUAAUCUCUUUUUUUUUUUCCAGUUGAUUCCUCUUUUGAGUGUUUCUUUCUCCGAAUUCAAGUAGUUAAUUAAGAUUUAGGAAGUCGAAGAAUUCUUAUCUAUGAAUAUGAAUACUUCAAGUUACAAGGUACAAACUAGUUGCCGCUGCUUUUCUCUUUGGAAUUAUGAGUAUCUCUAAUUUUGCCAUAUUUAGGAGCUCAAGUAUGCCUCUCUGCAUUGACAUUUCUCUUGUUUUCCUCCUCCAUUAUUGCAUUUGUCCAAACAGAAUCAUAUGUUUAUUCUCAAUUACCAAGAGUAGUUCAUGUAUAAAAUGUAAUAGGUAAUUUCAUUUUCCUUUCGGAGCUAUACUGUUUUGUAUAGAUCAUAGAUCAUAAUCAUUCAUAGAAUUUCUUUCCAUAACCUACAUGUUUCGUAAUGAUUAUGAAAUGGAACAAUUACUUUUAUCAUUUUUAAUAUCACCUCUCAAUAUCAAUUUUAAUGAUAUAAAAAUUGCACUUAAAUGUGUAAUAUAAAAUAUUAAAUUAAAUUUAAGUGAUUUUAUUUAGACAUGACAAAAGUGAUUUUAACCAUUUCAAAAUUACUUCCACACAUGCCUUAAAUCACCUUCUUGAGUUGAGUUGCAUACUAUUGAAAAGAGUGAUUUAGAGUUGGAUAACUGUUGCAGCAUUUGCAUAUCACAAUAAAAGCAGGUUCAUAAGUAACAGAGGCUGAGAUGUUAUAUUAGUUUGCUUUGAAUAAUAAUGUUCUUACUAACAAUCAUCAGUUUAUUUGAUUUUGUGCAGUGAUUGUUGGAGAAGUUGCUAAUUUCGCUGCCUAUGCUUAUGCUCCUGCAAUUCUCGUAACUCCUUUGGGAGCUUUAAGUAUAAUUUUCAGGUAUAUAACAAUUUAACACUCAUAUAUUACUUUUGAAACAUUAUACAUCUAUUAUCCAUGUAUUAUGCAUAAGAUGGAAGGUCUGACGUUAAUCUUAGUAAAUCGAUAUCUCACAUAAUAUACAUCUAUAUGUUAUACUAAUGACAGCCAGGUUUGGAAGUAAUUAAAUCACAGCUUACUUGCCCAUAUAUUAUUGUCAAUAUUGAUAAUACUUAAUUAAUAUGUAGAUGCAUAUAUACUUGUGGUACUUAACGUACUUGGUGCUAAUGUGUGGGAAUGUAUUGAUGAGAGUAGUAAGCAUGUUUGGAGUUUUGAGUAAUAUAAUGAAACGACACCGUUUUGCAGUGCAGUACUAGCUCAUUUCAUUUUAGAGGAAAGGCUACAUAUAUUCGGCAUGCUCGGAUGUGUUCUGUGUGUGGUGGGAUCAACAACUAUUGUUUUGCAUGCUCCUCAGGAGAGAAAUAUUGAAUCUGUCAAGGAAGUUUGGGUGCUUGCUACGGAGCCAGGUUUCUCAAUUCCUUCCACCCUAUAUAUAUAUAUAUUAUAUUUUCAUGCUUUUAAUUCAAACCUUGAAUGUGCUUAUAUAGUUUAUACAAACAGUAGACUUCAAGUAUAUACUAGUUUUCUCUCUCUCUAAUUAGCUAGUUUUGAUUGAAUGAGGAAAUCGGGGGUAUUUUAACUUUUCAAGUAAGGAAAAUAGCAUCAUUCUUUUUUAUCUUAUUAUUUAUCAAAUUUUACCAUGAACUUUUAACUUCAUUCCUGUGCACCCUAAACUUUGACAAUCAUUGUAAAAUAUAGUAAAAUGAAUCAAAAUAUUUUCAGAUAUUACAAAAUUUUACUGUUUAUCAACUAUAUAUCGCGUCUACUAUGUAUGUUAUGACAUUUUGUUAUCUUUUGUAAAUAUAUAUUUUAGUAGAUUUGUCAUUUAAAAAAAUUUACUUGUUUUCUUUAGUUACUACUUGGCAAUAUCUUUUACAAUCAACUUCAAGUGUUGGGAAAGAAUGUUUCUUUUACUCCAAAAAGAAUGUGAAUGAAAAUAUUUCCAUAAUCUUAUAAUUAAUCAAUAUAUAUAUAUAUAAUAUAUAUAUAUAUAUAUAUAUAAUACAAUAUAACAUGCGACUAAUGAAGCUUUUAUUGAAAUUUAUGGUUGAAUGAAUUUAAUCUCAGUGUUGAUGGAUUUAAACUAAUAAACUUUGGGUUAUUAACAGGUUUUAUAGUAUACUUGGUGAUAGUUUUGGUUCUAGUUGUUGUUCUGAUUGUUCGAUAUGUGCCAAGAUACGGACAAACCCACAUGGUUGUUUACGUCGGAAUUUGCUCUCUCAUGGGUUCUCUAACGGUUUGUUCUCAUAAAACUAUAUGAUUUCUACGUCUUUUUAAUUAAAUAAGUUUUUGAAUUUAAUUAAUUAAUUAAUUAAUUUUUGUGUAGGUUAUGAGCGUCAAAGCAGUAGGAAUUGCACUUAAGCUCACAUUUUCAGGGAUGAAUCAGUUUAAGUACUUUGAGACGUGGGUUUUUACCGUCAUUGUGACUGGAGGUAGCAUUUUACAAGUCAACUAUUUAAACAAGGUAAAAAUAAUCUAUUCAACUCCAACCCUCUCUCUCUCUCUCUCUCUCUCUCUCUCUCUCUCUCAUAUAUAUAUAUAUAACAUUAUAGUUGUGGUAUAUUUGUUUAAUUAAAAAGAUAUAAAACUAAUUAAAUGCUUAACCCAACGCCCUUCAUGAAAAAUCUAUUAGAAAAAAUUAGUGGAAAACCAAAAUUAAUUUAAUUCUUUUUAAAUUAAUUAAUAGAUAUUCACCUCGAGCAUUUAACAAAAAAAAAAAUCUUAGUUUGUAGAAAGUGUUUUUUUUUAUAUCUGUCAGUAUUCGAACCGACAGCCCUCGUCAAGUUGAGAGUUUUUUUUACCUAAACUAUAACAUUUUUAUUCCAAAAUAAUUUAAGAGAUAAUGGUUGAUGUACCGUACCAAUCUUAAUUUUCGAAGCAAUUGAUAUACAUACAUAUAUAGUACCAAUCAAAUGUGGGGAUUGUAUUGCAUAAUUUAUUUAUCACGUUAUUUUGUAUUAUUUCUAUCUUAUUGUAUAGAUUGAUUAUGAUAUCAGCUUUCGUUUCCUAAUAAUAUUAAUAAAGUUGGUAUCGCGAGAGAAGUGAAUCUAUGUUAUAAAUCAUGCAGGCUCUGGACACCUUUAACACUGCCGUAGUAUCUCCAGUUUACUAUGUGAUGUUCACAUCGCUCACCAUCCUUGCCAGUAUGAUUAUGUUUAAGGUAAUUUAUAUCACAUUUAUUCUUUCCCUAAAUUCCUCUUAUCUGCCCUGAUUGGCUUUUUAUUUUACCUACAGGACUGGGAUUCACAAAAUGCAUCACAAAUUGCAACAGAACUAUGCGGUUUUGUUACUAUUCUUUCCGGAACUUUUCUCCUACAUAAAACUAGGGAUAUGGGGAGUUCUCCAUCCUCCGAUGUCCCAAUUGUCGUUAGGUCCCCGAAACGGCCUAAUUCAAACACAAAUUCUGACUAACAAACACCCCCAGCAGCGUAGCAAAUUUUAAAAAAAUAAUAAUAAUAACAAAAGAAGAAGACUUGUUUAGAAAAAAAAAAUUGUAAAUUUUCUCUUAUCAUCCAAAGAGGUGGCCAUUGCUGGGGGGAGGACAGAUUUUUGGAUGGAAGAUUCUUAAUUUAUUGUAAGAAAGAAGCAAACCUGGUGGGCACAAUAUUAGCAAAGGCAAAUGGAGUUUGAAGGUUUGUUUGGUUCUCACUUUUCAUCUUUGAGGUACAGAUUCAAUUUUUUAUUUUUUUAUUUUUUUUUACAAAAAGAAAGAAAGAAUCAAAAAAGAAAAAGCCAUACGAUAUACGUUACAGGUUGUGAUAAACAAAGGGAUAAGGUACUGAAUAGAAGUUUACUAUAGCGCUAACAUUUGAAGAUACAUUGUAAAAUUGUAGGGUUUGGGAGAUUUCUAUAUAACCAAUCAAUGUUCUUCUCUUUCUCCAACAUUUAGUCUUGGUUUUUGAUGAUUCAACAAUUGUAAUUGUUUUCGCAGAAAGAUUAAGUUUUGUAUCAAGUCAGUAAUUUGACUGUUGUGCUUGAUACACUACCAAUGAUAUAAACGAGCCUGAUGUUAUAUCUUGUUUAUAGUCUCCUUUUAUUUUUACUUGCAACUUGUGAUGUAAAUUAUUCUAAAAAUUGGAUCCUUGAAGCUCGUGAGCAUUAUGUAAAUCUAAAUCAGAGGUUAUGUUAAGUUAGUCUACGGUCUCAAAUUCUAGGCUUUAGAUUGAAAACUUAUUGAUAGACAAGGUUACUCUUGACCUUUUAAAAAAACAACAAAACUAUUGUUGAAGUAGAAUUCCUUUGAAAUAUUGAAUGAAAAUUGGGGCCUAAAAUUGUGUGGUGGUGACCUAAAAAAACAAAUUCGCCCAUUCUAGGUCUCAACUUCUAUCUAUAAUUCAGGGGUAAGGUGUCUUAUAUAUGCAUGGAAAAUUAAUUUAAAUGAUAACUUCCGAAAAUAUUUAAAAAUUUCAUAAUCUAUUAUAGUAGUAGAUCACAAAUAGUAUCAAAGAUUUUGGUUCAUUUGAUUUUUUUUUUAAAUACUUCUAUUUAGAUGUGUAUCGCCUUAAGUUGAGACCUAGGUGUCUUUCCAUUAUAAAAAAAUAAUAAAUAAAUAAACGAGUUUUUAGUCUAUACAGACAAAAGGAAUAUAUAAGCUAAAAUUUUCAGCAUGAAAAUUCAUCAGAAACAACUUUACAGGACAGUUAUAAGAAGUAGAUAGAAUAUAGAAACCUGAAUCGCUUGAUGAAGAGCCAAAGGUUUUAACCACUGUCAGCUUGGAGUUCUAAAUGCAUCUGCUCCUUCAAUAUUUUCUCAACAGCGUCUGCAAAGCUUGAUAGAUUUCGGCGAAUAUGAGCGUCCAAGGAAUUUGCCAUUUUCUGAAGGAUUCAAACAUAAUCAGAAAGAUGCAUAUAACACAUAAUGUCCCAAUGACAUCCAUUAUAUAUGUAGACUGAUUUGAUCCAGUUAGCUUUUGGCAGACAUGAGAUGUUACCAAUAGACCUUUUCAGGUAUCAAUAAUAAAAAUAAAAAAGGAUAAAAAGGAAAACGAGAGCCAUCUUACCUCCACCUUGCAAAUGAGGCUUAAAGAAACUCCUUUUGUAUAAUGAUCUGAGCUCUUGAGUGAAAUAAGUUUCAAAGGAGAAUCGGCUAAUGGCCAACCUUGAGACACCUUAAUACACGCAUCAAUCCCUCCAAUCAUACUACACAUUAUCAUUUCGUCUUGAUCCAAAUACUCAAAGGAAUGACUGCAUGAAAAGUAAGUACUUCAGUCUCAACAAUUAAUAAAAGAUAGAAAUUACGUUAUUUUAAGUCAAAAUUGAUGUGCAUUCCCCAUCCAAUUGACCAAUUCCUGUAGGGAGAUGGACACAAGAAGAGGGGGAAAUCCCUACGAUUUAUUUAUACAUUAACUUUACUUAUACAAGAGAUCUGAAAAUUUUACGAGACUCACCAUGAUUUGUUUGCACUCUUCACAGCAAACCGCCUAAGAGUACACAAAACAAUCCUAUCUUGUACUUUUCUUACAAACCAUUCCAAUGAAGAAUUGCUGCUCAUGCAAAACCAAUGAAUGGGUCAGAUAAAUUGCUCAGUUCCAUAAGUGGAAAAUUAUUGCAAAAUUGUAGCCAAAUCAUUCCAACUACGGAUAAAUAGAUCUGAUGUCAUUAUAUGAUAUUUAUCGCAGCUAGAUAUGCUUAAUUAAACUGCUGCAUGGUUCCAUUAACGUUAUUCUCUCUCUAUCUGUGUGAAAAUAAGGCUACUUAGUAACAGCUCAAAUAGCUUGAUUCCAAUUCCAACCGACCAAAAGAGUUCAAAUAGUAGCCAAAUCACUACAAUUUAAGAAACAGAAUCUUUCCGGUUUCUCCCAAUUCUUCUUGACUACAAUGGAACCAAGUGCAUAAAGGAAUCUUAUAGGGAACAUACCUGAUUGACUUUGAAGCAUUGAUGAUAUCGUGCAAGUGGACAUCAGCAGGAAAGAUCUGUGCAAAUUACUAAUGAAUCAAGCCACUUCAACAGAGAUUACAUAAAAGAAAGAUAAAGAGGUGCCAACAGAUGGAAUCACUUUUUAAAUUCUAAUAAUGAUUAGACCAAGAUAGCCACGGAUACAAUUAAUUGUGGUACUCAACGAAAUAUACCUCAGCAUUCUUUAACUCCAUUGUCCCAUCCAAAACUUCUAUUAUCAACUCGUGAUCCAAUUCAGAUUUCUCAAUCAAACCUUCAAGUCUUUGUAAAGUUGAAAAAUCUUCCACGUUUGGAAUAUGUGUAUGUAAUGACAAUCUAAUGGAAUUAUCAGCGACGUCAAUGACCUUCAUACCACCAAUUGUGCCCUCAACCUGCUCAAUAACAUCCAAACUAAAAGGAGAGAAUUAGGAGGGAGGAUGAGAGAGAGAAAUCGUUGGUAUUAAAUUGAUAGCACAUUUCGUGAGAUAUAAUUCAUGUGAACUAUAACUUGAUUGUUGUUACUUUUGCGAUAAUCAUGUCCGAUUUGUGCAUAUAUAAUUUUAUUCUCUAUGAAUAAAACAAUGAAGGAGAGAUGAAGAUCUAGACUCUAUAAAGAUAUUUGGAGAAAAUCAGAAUCUCUGUGCGAGAAGAAUACCAUACAAAGAUAGGAGCCUAAUACCCGAGGGAAUAGCACCUAGGUGCUUGUCGCGAAAAUGUGGUGCUACAGCAGAACAAAGAAAAAACAAGAAAAUGGUGCUACCACAAGGCAUAAAUGUCAUGGCAUGGCGCUCCGAACUUCUAAUUUCCCUCGUCUACCUACAAUGCCAUGGCAAUAGCAUAACCCAUUUUAUAACCCAUUUGAUUGUGUAGCGCUAAACAUGAAUAGCUAAACUUUUAGCUCUUAGGGACUGAUGACCUCCAAAUUUUAUAGAUCAAUUUCUUAUUACUCUUGAUUGAAUCAACUUGGUUGUCUUAUUAAUGUUUCUCUAUUGUUCAUGCUCCUAAUUUACGGAUCAUAGGUUAAUUGAUCUUAGAUUAAAAAUCUUAAGCUCAGGAGACUCAAGUUAGAGACAUAACCGAGUUGCAUAACUGAAGGUGGUUUUAAGAUCAAGAGAUUUAAAUAUAACAAUUCACAUCUCAAAACACAACUUACCUUUUAAAUAUCUCAUCUACUUCCUGCAAAGAUUUUAGAAUUUUUUUGUUCUUCUCGAUCUGACUUUCAAGUUCCAAAACCUGGAAGAAGCAUAAACAGUUUCAUAAAAUAGUUGAUGAUUGUAAGCCUUGUAUAUAUGAAUGGGUAAAAGAAGAACCACUUCAGAACAAGUCAAACCACAUAUAGUUUGUCAUUGAGAUACAAAGUCAUGGUUGAAACAGUUAAUGAAACCUAUUGAUCCUUCGUUUGUUUUGCUUCUAUGCAAUAUUCAUGUGUACUUUUAAUCUUCGUAUAAUUUUUAUUAUCUUGAUGAAAUUCUCGUUUCCUUUAAAAAAAAAAAAAACAGUUAGUGAAACCAUGCAUUUUAAUUCAGCAUCAUUAAAUUGCACGCUCCCUAGGAACUUACUUAUAAUUGAUAGGGAACAUAUGACCACCAAAAAUAAAGUCAGAAGCAAUAAAGUGAUAGAACGAACCUCAAAUGCAUUGCAUUCACGGUUGACUAUCACGUUCAUCGGAUCUUCGCCAUUCAUAGAGCUGCAAUUAAAUGUGGCCUCUUCAGGAUCCUACAAGAUUGUAAAUUGUAAUGAUAACAUGGUGGCAGACAGUCUCAUUUGGAGAAGAACCUUUUGAUUAGGCGUAUAAACAAGUUAAGCUAAUCAUACGUUAGGCCAAACAAAAUUGACAAAAUCAAACCACAGAAUCAAAUUGAAAAUAAGGUAAUCGUUGGAAGGAGGGGGAAAAAAGCAGAGAGAGAGAGAGAGAGAGAGAGAGAGAGAGACAUGUAGACCAAAACAAAGCAUUGGCAGUAAUGCCUAGAGAAACGUUUGCAAAAUAUCUUAUCCGAUAUGUUAAAGAAUCUAUUUUCUUUUUUUUUUUUUACAUACUGACAAAUCAAACCACUUAAAUAACUGAAGGAGCAAACCUACUAAAUAGUACAGCUUCGGUGAAAAAAAUUAAGGUGUUAGAUUUCCUAGAACUUCCUCCGUCUGGUUUUUGUCCUUAUUCCUCAUUCGCCUAAUUAUUGAAACGAAUACAAGCCAACCACCUUCCAUAGUUGGAAUUACUUGAUGUCUUUUUUCAACAUUAGCAUUGCAACUUUCAAGAAAAAUAUGCAUCAAAGCAUGGUCUCCAUCAUCUCAACCUAAUUAAGUAACUGUUGGUAUAGUAAAAAUUUGUUUGCAAUAGAAACCAACCUGUGAAGGAAAACGAUCUAACGACAGUUUCAAUACUUCAAGAUCCAUCUUCAAUUUAUUAGAAUCUGUAAAUGAAAGCCAAAGGAGGACGUCAACACAAAUAGGAGGCUGAAAGGUAUAAAUCAAAACAUAAACGGAGAGACUGCCUUCUAUAUUGGUUCUCUUAAGAACCUCGAUCUCAUUGGAUAUUUUGCUGCUUUCAGCUUCCACCGCGACAAGUUCCUCUUUCAUAUGUUCGACAUAUGCAUCUACAUAUAGACUCAACAAAUUACGAAGGAAAAAACAUUGGAGAGAUGGAUCAGAAAGCAGGAAAGGAAUGUAAGUCGUUAAUUUAGUAAGUAGCUGAGAUGAAGGAAAGAACAUCUAACACAAUGGAGAACGAAAUUCUGAAAUGCACAUACAUAAAUGCAUUCAAACCUUAAGAAAUAUAAAAGUAAGCUUAAUAUGUUACCUAGAUCGUCAAUCCCCAAGAAACUAUCAACGUUAGAGUAUUCGGACAGAACCUGCUGUAUUCUGCUCUGCACAUUCAAAAAAAAAAGAGCCACACAUUUCUCUUAACACAAAAGGCCCGGAUAGAGAAAAGUAAGAUAAACUGCAGUAGAAAACCUCGAGAUGGAGAGCACACUCCCUCAGUAACUUCUCAGAACCUAAUGAAUCCGUCGUAGACUCUUCGUUUUCCUCCAAAGAUCUCUGCAGCUCUUCCAGCUCGCUGAUACAAAAAUGGCGUCGAUUAUACGUUGUUACACAUAAUUAGGACUCACAGAAGCAAGACAGAGAGAAACCUGCGAACUGCUUGGAGAUCGAGGCUUGGAGGUACAGACGGUGUAGCUUCCAUCGAUUCCGGCAUCAUUUUCCUCCUUAUUCUGCCUGAGUUUGCACGGAACCGAGAGAGAUUCUGAUUCUCCGCGUUGUUCGUCUGUACAAAAAUUCAAAACGAUGAAGAAGUAGAGAGAAAUUUCAGUUCUCCCAUGGCCAUGGCAGCUUAUUUGGACCAAACCCGAAAAUGGAGGCCGAGCGCUUGAAUAUGGGCUUCGCCUUGCAAGAUUUAGCCCGCGAAAUUGAGAGGCGAAAGGGUUUUUCAAAAUAUAUGUGAUGAAUAUUUUAGAAGUUUUUCUUUCUAUUUUUACCCUAAAUUUGUUAGAUUAUUGCAAUUUUCAACCUAAAAUUAUUGUUUUCUUCAAAAUUUGCUCUAAAUUUAUAUCUUUUACAAUUUCUACCCUUUUUUCGAUCGUCGCGUAUCCUCCAACACAUUUAACAAAAUAUACUCCUUAAUUUCAAUAAUAUAUAGUUUUACAUAAAUUAUGAUCUGAUUAAUGCACAAACUAUAGGUUAUAAAUUUUUUUAACCACAUUAGUUUUUAUUUCUGGUUUAAUUCUUAUAGAUAGCAAAUAAUUAAAACUAUUUUCAAAAUAUAAUAAAAAAAUAAAUUUUAUAUUUUUCUUACUUUUAUAUCAUGAAUUUUAAUAAAUCAUUUAAAUACAUAUGAAUAUAAAUAUUUUUUUGAUCGAUUAUUCAUUUUUUUAACUCAAGUUUGAGUGUAAUCUUAAUUUUUUUUGAAUUAGACUCUUCUAGGCUUUUUAUUUUUAUUCUUUUAGUACAAUUAAGAUGAAAAACCAACAAAUAAUGAAAAGUAUGAGACACUUAAACUUCAAAUAGGUGAAGAUUGAAGAGUGAUUAUUUAUUUGUACUACUUUCAAAUUCAAAUAAUCAAACUGGUUGAAAAUAUUAAAUUAAAACUACUUUAACAACAAUUUCAUCUUAAACGUUCUUUACGAAGUUUACGUUUUCUAAAGAACGUGAAAAGAAGAAACAAAAAGAAACAUCGUUUUGUAGGUAACUAAUUAAUCGAAAAUCAAACACAUGAAGACACAAAAGCAUAAAUAAGAAGCAAAGCCACCUGUUUUUUAGAUUCUUUUCCACCAUGGAUGAACAAGGAACAAGAAAUCCCAUUUUUAAAAGGCAGGAAAAUUAGAAACGCCUUCUCAAGGAGCUGAGGAACACAAAAUAUAUAUCCUUAGAGUAAGAAGACAGAAAAGCAUUGUAAAAGAUGUUCAUCAAAAGAGAGCCAGCCAACACUUCCAUUCCCUCUUUCUAAUUAAUUCAAGUGAUCAAUAAACUAUUUUUAAUGAAUCAACCGUCUGUCUUUUUCAGUCAAAUACAAACCACCUCAUAUCAAAGAGAUUGUAGUUUUUGUUUAUAGUUUCAUUCAAUACAGAUGAUGAACAACAAGAAAAAAAGAAGAAAUCAAGAAAUCUAUAUUUUGUUAAUGCAACUGUGUGCAAGUACAAACCUAGACGUCGUCAUCAUCAUCAGAAAAAGAAUACAGAUGCAAUAUUCAUGUGUUGUAUUCAUCUUUUUUUUCUUUUUUAACUUGUAAAAGGAAGGUAAAUCCGGAUAAUAUCUCGUCUUCUAAGCUUUCGCCGACAUAUGGGACAUCUAUGUUGAGUAGCUAUGGCCGUUUCAAUGCAAUUCCUGCAGAAAACGUGCCCGCAUUUUGUUGUCGUUUCUUCAACCAAUGGUUCUAUGCAGAUUGCACAUCGCAAAGUCCUAUCUGUAGGUGGGAUGCUACUACUUAGUGCAAGUGUAGAAGGAAUGUCAGUGUCAGUUUUUGCCUGCAAAAGGAGGUUUACACUUUAGUUUCAAGCUCUAAUAAAUAAGGAUCUUAAUCCGAUGUGUUUAAUUAAUGUAGUUACCAGAAAAAUCCAAGUGCUUUAUAUAAGAUUAAGAAACAUCACAAAUCUAAUUCAGAUAAAAACAUCAUUGGCCAAGACGUGUGCCAAUGGCAAUGGUCAACAGAAGCUUGAAUCAAUGGCAAAUUUCAUUCGAAGACAAAAAUGGAAAAUUUGGCAGAGAGAAAUAUAUGCCCCCCCUCACAAAAACUUGCACAAGAUGAAGCAAUUUAGACGGAGAUCAUAUUAUUGUUCUUUUUCCAUCUUUUAUGAAAACAACUUUUAUUGAAAAUAAAUGAAAGAAGAUGGAGAUAUAUUAGAAGCCACAGCAGAAUGUAAAUAUAUGAAAAUUUGCAACAGAUAGUUUGAAUCGUUUUAGAUAUCAUAAGCAUCUAAAGGAUGUUAUCAAAACUUGAAUCAAUAUUUUCCCAGAGAUAAUGAAAAUGGAGCUGUCCGAUUGGAAACCAAAAUGCACGCUGAUUGCUAGGCGAUGAACUGACCACUUUCUGUUGCACUUUCUCAUUUACAAUGAUUUUAGAAGAAGUUUUCUAUUAAAAAAACUUGUUCACAAAAUAUUUGUUUAAAACUAAAAAAUGUGGUCCCAAAAAGUUAUUUUUCAUUAUUUUCCAUUUGGCUAAUACUUCUGUGUAAAAAGGAACAAGAUAAAUCUUUAGUAAGCAGCCACAUAUUUUUACAACAGAAAUCAACAUUGAUUUUUUUUAUAACAAAUGUGGACUGAAUUUUUCAAAAACACAUAUACAUUCAGUUUCAACAUAUGCAGAUAAAAGAUAGAAGAAAGACUUCAACAAUGAACAGGCAAUUCCAAAGGUUGCAAGUGUAAUAAUCACUAAAUCAGUACUACCUUAGUGGCCCUACUACUGCUUUCACAGCUUAGGCGAAGGUCCAAGUUGUGAAUUGUUUGUUGUUCCUGUAAGGAUACAUUAUUGCUAAUUGUAAGAGGCGACCAAAUUGUAAAAGGGGGCCAAGUUGUUACAUCUGCAAAAUAUCCAAAAAGAACAUGUGUUAGUUAAUGAACUAAAUGUGUUAAUCUAUCUCAUUUUUUUAUAAUCAUGAAUAACGGAGGCAAGCUACAAAAAAAGGCCUCCAAUCAAAAGAAUGUUGAUCUCAUGACUGACUGCAAUUAAAAUAAUGAUUCCAAGUUUGGGCAGGAAUGUGUUUGGAAAAAAAAAAUCAAAUUAUCCGAGGAGGUACUAGAGUUUGAAAAAAAUUGGAUGCAACUGAAUAACAAAUUGAUCAGCAAUAAAUGGAGGAACAGGUAAUGAACAUAUGAUUAUGAAUAUAAAUAAAAAUAAAAAUACAUGCCCAAGAAUGUUAUGAAAGAAAGAAGGCUUUGGUUCUAUCCUGAGGAAGCCUACAGGUGACUAGAAAAGAUCUUAAACACUUUAAACACAGCAGCCUGCAUGUUAAGAACUAAGAAUUUUCUCUUUCAAACAUGCAUUAUACUGAAAUUUAAUUCAAACAGUGUUGUAGGUCCACAAUUUAGAAGAUUCACCACAGUAUGUAAAAGUAAAUAAGAAAAAACUAAAAACGUGAAUGUGAUAUUCUCAAAGAACAUCUUGAGUUUGCGACAAAAAAGUGCAGAAAAACUGGGAAAUGGUAAUGUAGCCACGCUAUCAGUGAGAAGUAACCAACCAUUGAAAUACAUAAAAAGAAGUGUAAGAUAUAGAAUAAAAGAGCAUAAACCUGAGAGAGCACCAUAAACUUCUGUGUUGCCAUUACGUCUGAUGACUGCACCACAGCCACUCUCAAAGUGGUUUCUGCGAAAAUUCUUCCUGGCCUAAAAAAUUUGACAUCAUCUUAAAUCCCCAGUGUGGCCUAAGUAAGAAAUGCAAUCAUAAUAUUACAAAAAUGUUACAUACUUCAGCAAACUUCCUAGGAGAAAUUAUAGCAAUGUCCUCGUCGAUGGCGUCCGUGGCUUGUCCUUGGUAAUGAUUGUAGUAUUGCGCUGCUUCAUCAGGCAGGCCAGUUGGAUCAAUGCACUCGUCUGGGGGUGGACAAUUCAAGUCGAAGUCCAACACUGUUCUUCUCUCAAUAACUCUUGAACUCCAAUCAUGUAGAUCAUUUGAACUUUGAAUGCUCAUCCCGACAGCUCUUUCUGUCUUUCAAGCCUGAAAAAGUAGAAUCGUCCACAAAAAUGGAGAAGUAAUUCAGAUUGAAAUAACUAGGAGGUCGAACCAUUGUUAUUGUAAUGUAAUUACCAAGAAGUCGACAUUAAAUUGAACAAAUGAGUUGAACGUUCAAAACAAAAAAUACAGAAUUCUCUUACUUUGCACAUCAUCGACCUAAAAAAGAAAAUACAUGACAAAAAUACCAAAGAACUGAAAUAUCCAUUAGGAAUCAUAAUUAAAAGUCUGUUUAAUUCAUAAAAGAAUGUGCGCAUCAAUUUAAUCUGUUUAGUUGUUAUUACUAAAAAACUGUUUAAUUUAUACACAAUUCGGUGAAUCAAGACGGAGUUUGAUCUAUGAACCAACAACUCCGUUUUUUAUUUUCUACCAUUAACGUUAAUUUACAUAAAUUAUUUAUGUUUUUUUUUUUUUUUUGUGAGAAACUAUUCACACUAUUUUUUUGUUUGUAACUCAAAUAAAUAUAUAAACAGAUAACUUGGUCGAUUUUGAAAUUAAUAUAUAUUAUAUAUAUACUUCUUGAUCAUAAAUUCUGCUAGAAAUUUAAACCCUUGGUGGAAUUAAAUUGCUACAAAAAAUAACAAAAAAAAUGCCAAACGUGUUCUAAAAAUAACGGGACGCCAAUUGGACUCUAUCCCACUGUCUAAAUCCACAUUUUAUUUACCCAUUUCAUCCAUGAUUGUUUCCCCCAAUCACGGCCCUUGAAACUAUGAUUUAAAAAUAAACCCUCUGAUGAACUCAGAAAAUAAUAAAGCCCUAAAUUUAGCUAAUAUAUGGUUAAGAUUUCACGACCAGAACAGAACCCCCAACCAAAAAGCAUAAAACCCUAAACCAAUUGAACCGUGAGUAAAACUAUUCAACGAGUCACCUUCUUGAAUCUAAAACAAAGCGCCCUAAAACCUUCAACUGACCUCGUUCAAUAGUUCGGAACUCGAGCGAAAAUCGAGAAAAAAUCAAGAAUAAAAAACACAGAAAGAACCACAAAAAACAAUCAAACCGAACAGAACCCACCAUAAAAAAACACAAAACGACAAACAAAAGCAAGAAAUCAGGGAAAAGAAGCAUGAUUCAGGCAAUACAACAGUAGCGUGAGGAAAACAGUAAAGGGGAUCGUACCUGGCGAAGAACGAAACGGCGAACUGGGGGUGGAGCAAAGCGACCGAGAGAUGAAACGGAAGAGACUUGCAGAGAGGAAAGGGAGGAGGGAGAGGAAGAAAUGGGAAGAGAAAAUGGGAGAGAAAGAGAAGGGGGGCGGCAAUCGAGAUAUAAAAGCAAUGUUGGCUUCCUUCCAUUCCAUAUAUGUAGAGGCGAGGAGGUGUUUUGUUUGAAAAACUUUACAUCCUUGCGAGAUCCUCCUUUCCUCGAAAUUAUUCUUUAUUUUUGCCAUUCUUCGUUGCUCUUUGUCUUUGUCCUCUUCGGCGCUUCCCUUAUUCUUCCCUCUCCCCUCCCCCGCCCUGGGCUCUCGUCGGGCCCAUUUUGUCUUCCUUUCGGCCCAUUCUUCUCUUGAUUCACCCAUUAUUUUGGAUUUUUAUUUUUCAUUCAAAAAUAAUAAUGAUAAUAAUGGAGUUAUUUACAAAAACAUAACAAAGUACGGUAACAAAAUAAGAAAAGCAUGACCGACCAUCACUUUUUCAUAAAUUUCAUAUAUGUUUUUAUGAUUUAUUGGUACUAUCAAAGCGAGAGAUUUAAUAAUGCAAAAGUCUUAUAUUUGAAAAAUCUCCAGUAAUGCUUGCUAAAAAUAUUAGCAUAAUUCAUUAAUUGUGAGUCCUGUGGGUGUCACUAAGACCCAAAAUCUAAAAAUUAAAUGAAUAAUUCUGUGAGGCAACAAUACAUAAUUUUUUCUUCUCGAAACAUUCGGUGCAACUAAGGCUUUGGAUCGUGUAUCGUUAUCUAUACCAUUCUUUAAUUUUGAAAGGUUUAAAAUGAAGCAUGUGAUCAUGUAGAUCUACACCUAUGUCUUUCAUCUCGUACCAUCUCGAUGCAUUAUAUGUUCGAUGUGGAAUUAAUUAAAGGUAUGAUUAUUUCAUCAGGAGCCAUUGUAUGCUUGAGAUUGAUUGCACUCAUAUGAUCUUGUUGAUUGAGGUAAUUUUUGUAUUUCACAAUUUUUUACCUAGGACCUUUUUGCGCUUUCAAAAUUGUUAUAAAUAUUUUCACUAUAGUAUCUAAACGCAAAAAAAAAAAAAAAAAAAACUAUGGUAAUUAGUAAAAUGGAAAUUUUGUUAAGAAAAGCUACAAAUACAAUAAAAUGCCACAGUCUACGUAUACUAAUGUCAUUUGUCGAUUAGAGAUAAUAUAACUUGUCACUCAUAGACAACUAGAGUUAUAUUUAUGAAUAAACUAGUUCAUUGUGGCCUGAGGAUUUGAAAACAACUCUUCAAAUUUAAGUGGAUGAAAUAUGUUAUGUAAAAGUUGUUCACAUGUUUAAUUUCGAAAGACGGUUGGCAAUGUGCUUUAACCUAUUAGGUUAGAUAUCGAUCUAGUGAUUUUGUCCCUCCACCUAGAUCGUUCCAUUAAUUUUGACGAGACAUUAGAGUGGAGUUGAGCACAAAUGGAGUCGUUCAAACAACUUGAGUGUACAACUACUCCCUCCAACUACAUUAAAAUUCUUGCAAUUCGUAAAAGUAUUUAAAAACGUGUUUGGACGAGAUCAACAAUAUAGUACAAAACACGUUUUACCAAAGCUUUUACAUGCUUUGAUAUUUAAAAAAUUGAUGCAUGGCAUUUGAACAUUCGAUUAUUAGCUUUUGACUUUUUUAACAUACUUAUGGGAAUCAUAAACUUCACACAUAAAAUCUCGAAAGGAAAAGCUUUUAGAACAAAAAUUACAACAAAAAGAUAAAAAGGAGGGCGUAAAAUGUCCUAAAUUGGCCCAAUCGACGAGCUUCCUCACUAUUGUUAUCCACUCUUGAAAGAACUGUUGUGCAACUUGAAACUUUUAGUCUGUUGAAGCGUGGUAGAUAUCAACAAAACAAGAUCAAAUUUAAACGUUACAACACAAUUUAAAACAUAAUUUUUUAAAUUAUUUAUAGGAACAUUUUAAAAAUAGCAAAAUAAAUAAAAAUAUAUUUCUACCCGUGUCAUUGAUACUAUCAAUGUUAUAAUCUAAAAUUUUUACUAGCAGUAAAUAUUUUAUCAAUCUUACUAUUUUUUACUAUUCCUAUAGUCAAAUUCUAAUUUAAAAUAACACAUAUGCACCCAAAGAAAAGAGAAAAAACAAAAACAAAAGAAUGGAGGAUAGAGAAUCCAACCAGUCAACGUGAAGAAAUCUAUUCACACUUCACUAUUUUAGAUUAACAUAUCUAAUCAAUUUACUUUAAAAAAGAUUAAAUUAAUACAUAUAAUUAAUUAACAUAAAAACAAGAUUGAUCUAUGAAAAGAGAAAAGAAAAGAAAUAAAUAGUUUGAUUAUAUAUUGUUAUUAAUUUAAAAGGAAGGCGUAAAAAUCAUAGGCAAGGACAGCAUCUAUUCCCACUUUGAUCCCAGUCUGAAUCCGUCUAUAGACAAAAAGCACACAUUUUUUGAACACAUCAUUCGAAGACAUUAAAAAAAGAAAAAAAAAACGUGGAAAAUUAUUAAAUUAACUAUUCCUUUAUCCGAUCUUUACUUAUUUAUAUUAAAUUAAAUUAACUAUUCCUUCAGCAAUUUUUACUAAAAAUAUAUUUAUAAAAACGAUGCACAAAAGUAUCCCAAUCGCAUGCUUGUUACGUAAACACACGCGCCAUUACAUAAGGGACAGGUGGCGGUAAUAUUCUCACCAAUAUCCGAAAUUCUCCCGCAGCACAUCCUUGUUUCUAUCGGAAGUCAGUUCAGUUUAGCUCUUCCCUCAGAAAUGGCGGACGGUAAUUGAUUGAAGCCUUGCAAAUUACCUUUGUGUUUUGAGGCUCUGAACUUCUCGAGCUCGAUCGCUGUUGUUGAAAUUUUUUGAAUGGUUAUGGUUAUGGUUAUGGUGUCACUUGGUGGUUGUACGUUUAUAAAUUUUUCUUAGUGGAUAUUUCUACGGCGGUUCCGGUUGAGUUUUUUUUUUUGGUCGGCGGCAAGGAAGUUAAAUGGCGGUGCGAGGUGUUUUGAUUGUUCAGUUGAUGAGUUUGACUCUGACGAUUCAUCUAUUGGUUGUCUCUGGGGAGUUUUUCAAGCCUUUUAACGUGAGCUACGAUCAUAGGGCUCUGAUCAUCGAUGGAAAGCGCCGCAUGCUUAUCUCUGCUGGUGUUCACUAUCCUCGCGCUUCUCCGGAGGUAAUUUGGCGAUUUUUCUGUUUUUACUGCUUUACUGUUGUAUUUAUAUUUGCUGAAAUGACGUGCGAGAGAAUAAUCGAGUUGGCCUUGGAUGAAGGGAAGUGAAUUUGUUGUGUGUGGAUAGUUUAUUGUGCUCAAUAAUCAGGAUACAUCAAGAUAAUGAAAAUGGAGAGAGACAUUUAAUUUUUACUAUCAUUCAUCAUUUAUUUGUCUUAUUAUUGGUGUAAAUCGAGUUUUCCUUUUUGUUAUUUUAGCUUCACAAAUUUCAUUACCAAUUGGAAGUGCUUUAUUGUAAUCCUUUAAUUAGGACUUUCCAUUUUGUAAUUUCAUCAACCAUCAUGUCAAUGAAAUCUUUAUGUUUCCAAUAAAAGAUGAUAAGGGUAUUGGAAAGAAUGUUUGGCACUCAUCACUUGUGAGAUUUGAUCACACUUACUCAAUUUGGUUAUAGGUUUUUACAUGAUUGUAGAUGUGGCCUGAUCGUAAGGUUCUUUCCUUUUAUGUUACCACAGAUGUGGCCUGAUAUAAUUGAGAAGAGCAAGGAAGGUGGGGCGGAUGUCAUUCAGAGUUACGUGUUUUGGAAUGGGCAUGAACCAACAAAGGGACAGGUGCAGUAAUCUGCUUACAAGCUAGUCCAAUCGUCAUGUUUUUAGUAGGUUGCUUGAUAACUUAAAUAUAUUUUACAUUUUCUCCUUCCAGUAUAACUUUGAUGGCAGAUAUGACCUCGUUAAAUUUAUAAGGCUGGUAGGAUCCAGUGGCCUCUACCUUCAUUUACGCAUUGGACCAUACGUGUGUGCAGAAUGGAAUUUUGGGUAUAUCCUCCUGUCACCCAAUUAGUGUUUUCUUUUACUAGUCAAAUUUGUGAGAGUUGGCUCUCUUUGAGACCGUGUUGUUUGUUAUAUUGUACUUAUCACUUUGAAACUGAUAGCAUUUACGUUUUGAAACCUGGCAUUCAUUUCAUUUGAAGAACAAAAUUAGUUCUUGGUAUCAUCUAGUAGCUUAAUACUUAGGGCUCAAGAUAACAACGUGACAUGUCGGCAUCUGAGGUGUAGUAUUAUGACUUACUAAACAAAAUCAAAGUUCAUCCUGAUUACGGCUGUUUGCCAUGUCCAUUUUCCAGUAGCAUAUUUAAAAAAGAAUGUAAUACUACAGUAGAUAGGUUAGGUAAAACAGGAAAUAAGGAACUAUUUUAGACACUUAAAAAGAUGUGCAUCUGUUGAAAAAUUCUGUCUGGAUGAGCUUCUAGUCCUUACACGGACGACACAACUCCGUACAACUACUGAUGUCUUGCCCAUCUAAAAAUUAUUCUCCUCAAAUUUACGAAAUGUUAACCGUUAUGUAGUAUGGGAUUAUUGUAGGGGUUUUCCUUUGUGGUUGCGAGAUGUACCUGGAAUUGAAUUUCGAACAGACAAUGCUCCUUUCAAGGUGCAUCAGCAUCUCUUAACGUAUAUUUGUACUUGCUAGUUGAUUAUAUCUUUUUUGGAGCCAAAAGUUUGGCAUGUAACCUUCAUAAAUUUACCUUAAACAUGUUGGUAUUGCCAAUUAAUGUUUGUUGCAUUGCUAUGAGAUGAUUAACUGUAGCAACACUUCAUCUUUUAUAGGAGGAGAUGCAGCGAUUUGUCAAAAAGAUAGUAGAUCUUUUGCGUGAUGAAAAACUAUUUUGUUGGCAAGGUGGUCCUGUCAUCAUGUUGCAGGUUAAACAGAAACGUUAAUGUUCUUUGUUAUUGAAUAUUGCUGUUAAUUUAAUGAUCGUGAUAUUUAACCUUGCAAUUGAAAUUUAUUGGGAUUCUAUUUAUUAUUUACUUUUUUAGCUGUUUAUAGGAUAAGUUUCAUGAGUACAACCCUACAUUAAGCUGAGUUGUUGAUUGGUUAUUUUAAUGUUUAUCAAUACUUCCAUUUUCUUUAACCAUUUCAUAUAUUGCAGAAUUUUGAUGAAGUUAUCUUCGAAAGUUAUUUUUUCAGAAAAUCACAAUUCAGCUCUGCUGUGCAAAUACUUGCAUGUUUUUUUAGAACUUUGUUGAGUUUGAGCAUUGGAAUAUUCGAUUCUGCUGUGUUGUUCUUGUGGGGUUGAAGUAUUACUAUUAAAGUGAUAUGCUUCAUAUUCUCAUUUUGUAACCCCUCAUUAUUAGAUUUUUUUGUGAUCCAUUUUUCUUUUUAGAGUAUUUUUCCUAUGAUUUCUUAUAGCAUGAGAUUGUGUUAUUUUGCUGGAUUUUUCACUACAGUUGGAUGGUGUCCCCUCUUUUACCAUUCUUACUGUCACUCUUUGAAACUAAAUAACAGGUUGAAAAUGAAUAUGGAAAUAUUGAAAGUUCGUAUGGAAAGAGGGGACAAGAGUAUAUUAAAUGGGUUGGCAACAUGGCUCUAGGUCUUGGUGCUGAGGUUCCAUGGGUUAUGUGCCAGCAGAAGGAUGCUCCAUCAACCAUUGUAAAACUUUUACCCUAUUUACUCAAUUUUCAGUUUCUCUUUCAUAUAUUAGUCAAGAAAGUUGAGGUGUCACUGUACUUUAUGAAAUUUUUUGUUUAGAUCAAAAUUUCAUAUCCCUUUUAUGUUAAUUUUCAGUAUAAACUUUUGUUUGGGAAGGUUUUCUUUUCUAUUUUAUCUACGUUUUGUUUAUAUCAACUUCAAGAAUGCAAUGCAUUUACAUCGAUUUUUAAAAAGUGCUAGUUGUUCAAGAGCAUCUUUUAAAAGCAUAACGAAACAUUGUUGUUGUUCUUUCACUCUUCUAAUUACUUGUAAAAACUAUUCUGUCAAAUGUAUUUUAUGAGUUAAGAAGUUAUGUGCAGUAUAUGUGUGUUGUGUGUUUAAAGGUUUUGAAGUACAAAACAAAAAUUUAACUGUAGCUUAAACAUCACUUUGUAUAACCUGUUUGGUAAGAUCACUCGAUAAAAUCGUGUCUAUAAUAAACUGACAAGAGUUUGCAUUUACUUGUUUCUUGAAAUCUUGAGAUCCAAACCUUGUUAACUUAUGUUUAAUUUGUUAAUGAUACAGAUAAAUUCAUGCAAUGGUUACUAUUGUGACGGAUUUAAGGCAAAUUCUCCAAGCAAACCCAUAUUUUGGACAGAAAAUUGGAAUGGAUGGUAUAGUUUUCUAAUUUCUAGUAGGGUUAUGAUUAUUGUGCCAUAAUUAUUAAUUACUAUAUGAUCGUUUAUGUGGUAAUCUUUCAUAAAGAAGUUGAAGUUGAAGAUGCUAUGAAGUACUAGUUCAGACUUUACUGUAGAAAGUUUGGUUUGAAAGAGGUCGUAAUAAUUUUAAGACAGACAAUCAUCCCUAGAUAGUAUUACUUUAUUUUAUUGGUUGGAGUUGUUUUCCUGGGUCCUCGUUUCAAUUCUUCCAUCAUUUUUUUUUGUAAUUUACCGGGCCCUACAAAAUGUUGAAAGUUUAGAAGCUUGACUAAAACAUUUCAUGGUAUAAUACUGUUUGUCCCCAGCUAAACAUAAUUUAAUAAGUUCAUAAGCUCAUAUAUCAAUUUUACACGAUCAAGUGCAUAAUUGGUUCUGUUGAAAAAUUUCAGUGGCAUAAACAUUUCAAUUUUUUGAAGGUUUACAUCAUGGGGUGAGAGGUCACCCCAUAGACCAGUUGAAGAUCUUGCAUUCUCUGUUGCCCGCUUCUUCCAACGUGAAGGGAGCUUUCAGAAUUAUUAUAUGGUAUGUGAGAUCAGUUGGAACAUUGUCAAUUACCAGAUUUUAAUGAAAUCAAGAUGGUUAUGAGAAUUGAACAUGUCAUAGUUUUGUGCAUUUUUUGAAUGGUUAUACAUAGAUUUCAUGUGUCAUACUACGUAACACUGUCAAGGAGUUCAACUUUUAUAUGUAAUCAUAUUUCAUGAGAAACACCUUUCGUUUACUAGAAAGGAACUUCAAAUCGCAGGGAGUCAAUAACAUUCAUGCCCGGUAUAUAUUCUACUAUAUAAUGAAAUAUACUUAUGGCCAUAUCUAUUUCCCAACCAUAUAUUUAUUUAUAUGGGAGAUAAUGGAAUGACAGUGAUAGAAUUUACAAUGCAAAUCAUGAUGGAGUACUGUAUUUAAAACCAGAUGAAGUCAUCAAAGUGAAAUGAAAAGUAAAGAGAGUGGGACAACAUAAUUCUUUGUGAUAGAAUUUUUUGACGAGGCUGAAGCAUUAUGCACAGCACAUCCCUUAGGGUUAGGAUUUCAUGGGGACUUCCAAACAUUUCACCUUUUUUUUCUAAUUAAAUAGGAAGUUGAGGGCUUACUUGUAAGUUGGCUCGUGAUGUUCUUUGUGGUUCUUUGUGUGUGUGUGUUCCCCCCUUUCAAAUUCCUUGAUGAAAUUAUGUAUUUAUGGGAAAACAUUUGUUUUCCUCGAGGGAAUUUAUGUAUUUAAUUGGAGAAAAAUGUGAAAUGUUUUACUUUUAGGGUUAUGGAAUCAACAGAAUGUUUAUACCCUGCAUUUAUUCAAUGAUGUAACCAAGUGUACUUCUUAACAUUUGCAGUACUUUGGUGGAACAAAUUUUGGCCGUACUGCUGGAGGCCCAUUUUAUAUUACUAGCUAUGAUUACGACUCUCCAAUUGAUGAGUAUGGUAGGUAACUUAGGAUGAAACAGAUUUUCUCUGAUAAAUUUUAGUUUUUAGUCGGUUACAGUCUGCUACCUUUUAAUAUUACCUAUUCCCAUGACAUUAUCCUGUAUUAAGCUCACAAAAUCAUUGUUCAUAGGCUCUACUGGCAAUAUUUAUUUUCUUCAUAUAGGUUUGAUAAGGGAACCCAAAUGGGGGCACUUGAAGGAUCUGCAUACUGCAUUAAAGCUCUGUGAACCUGCUUUGGUGUCUGCUGACUCACCCCAGUAUAUUAAGUUGGGACCCAAGCAGGAGGUUUGACAAUAGCUUGUGCUUUUUAUGGUUUUUAUUGUACUAUCAUCAGAAAUUUUAUCAUCCAAAUGAGUAUUGAAAUGGAUAAAUUGAUAGAGAACAAGGGUUUCUAAAUUCCAAAGCUCCAAACGGGUCAAUACAAAAAAUUUCAUUUCCACAAAUGUAUCAAUACCACCUAUUUUCUAUUAACAACCGAACAAGGUGAAAUGCAAUGUAACAGACUUUCCCAUACUGACCCAAUCUCCAAUGAAUGCCCUACCUUUUCCAUGAUGUGUUUAUGGCAAGUUAGGCAUUAGCAUUCAAGUGCAGAGAACAAAAACAACCCUUUUCUUUAAUGCAAGUUUUGGGCCAUCUUUUCAACUCUUUUGGCUGAAAGGGUUUCCUGGAUUUUUCUCUGGGGGAUACGGGACCUGAUGACUUGACUCUACCUGUGACAUCAAUGCUGGAAAGUGGCAAGAGAUCUUAAAAAUGGAUCACACAAACUAUGCUACUUUUUGUUUGUUCCUCAUUGUGUAAAUCCAUUCUCUCAUUUACUAAUUACAUCCUUCCUCUUCCUCUUCCAAUUGAAAGAUUUUUCUUACCUUGAUGUGGGCUGAAGCUGUCUUCUCCCUAUUUUGUAAUGAAAAUAUUUAUUCAUGCCAUUUAGUGUCCAAAUGAUUUGAAUUAUUGUUUGCUGAUGGAUGUUUAUGUAAGGCCCCAAGUUAGUCGAAUAUUAGAAUUAUUAGGAGAAUAUUAGUUUGGUUAUUAGAAGGGGGCAAAUUAGUAAAUAGCUAGUUAGUUGGCUAGGGUUUUAGUUAUAAAUAGGGUUUUAGUGUUGAGGAUGGGUGUGAAGAAUUUUAUGAUGAUUUCCUAAUUCGGAAUUUGGUAGAGGAUUAUGUUAGGACACCUCCUAACAAGAGACUCAAAAACACAAAGAACAAACAAGAAAACUUAAAAGCUAAAAUUAUAUUGCAAUAUCAUUGAAGAAAUUACAAUAUACCUCAACACAUUCUAGAGGGCUGAGAGUCCUCUCCCAAAUUCCCAAUUAGGAAAUCACCAUAAAAUUCUUCACACCCAUUCUCUCAACUCACUCCUACUUAUAACUAUAACCCUCAGUCCUCACCAACUAAUUAGCUAUUUACUAAUUUGCCCCCUUCUAGUUACCAAACUAAUAUUUUCCUAAUAAUCUUAAUAUUUGCCUAACUAGGGGCCUUACAGUUCACUGAUAAAUAUGAAUAUUAUAAUUCUUUCAUUACUGUUUUCAGGCACAUGUAUACCAUAUGAAAUCUCAAACUGAUGACCUAACACUUUCAAAGCUUGGAACUCUAAGAAACUGUUCUGCCUUUCUUGCAAACAUUGAUGAACGUAAAGCAGUUGCUGUAAAAUUUAAUGGACAAACUUAUAACUUACCACCAUGGUCUGUUAGUAUUUUACCAGACUGCCAGAACGUAGUGUUCAACACUGCAAAGGUAUGAUACUCAUAUUGGGUUUUUUACUUCGAACUUUCUUGUUAGUAAUGCACAAAGGAAGAAUGUGAUUCAACUUUCAUCUUAGAAAUUGGUCUACAAUGCUGUGGUAAAUCUAUGUAAGUCCAAGGAAAACCGAAACUAUAUGGGAAGUUCAGUUUCUUUCUCAGUCUUCUAUAAGCUUUACCGAUAUAUGUUGAUGAUGCCCUAGGAAAAUUGAAUCAGUACUGGUGGUUUUAUUUUUUCAAGUUUCUACAAUAGUUCUGAUUCAGUGAUAAGAAAUGAUGAGCAUAGAGAUUUUCUGAUUCCAGUGUGUUGCCAUUUGCUUUUGAGUUGCAUACAAUCUCUCUUCCCAAAGCUUCUUUUUCCGUCUCUGGAUGCUUCAUAAUUUAACUUGAGAAGCUAAAAUUGCAAAUGUUGAGCAGGUUGCAGCACAGACUUCCAUCAAGAUAUUGGAGUUGUAUGCGCCCCUUUCUGCUAAUGUUUCUUUGAAAUUACAUGCUACGGAUCAGAAUGAACUUUCGAUAAUUGCUAAUUCUUGGAUGACGGUAAAAGAACCCAUCGGAAUUUGGAGUGAUCAAAAUUUUACUGUCAAGGGUAUACUGGAGCAUUUAAAUGUUACAAAGGAUCGCUCUGAUUACCUUUGGUAUAUGACCAGGUAAAUUUUCACUUAAUUGAUAAAAUUGGAAACAAGAACACCAUGCACGUGCUUGCUGAAACGUUAUAAGAGAAGCGUUGUCUUACUAUCACUACUGUAUACUAUUACCAAACUUGAUCUAACUUUAGUUUCAUGCGAGUAAUGAAAUCUGAAACGUUAUAAGUAACUAAAUAAACCAAUUAGAAUUGAGAUGGAAAACUUUCACAAGUUAAACUUAAGGAAAAAAAAUCUUUGCCAUGACGGUUUCUUCAUUUCAAACUUAGAGGUUCUGGGCCUCAAGCCUUCUCAAGUCUUGCCAAUGAAAGUUUUAUUUCUAAAUAAAAAGAAAUUAGGCCUCAAGUCUUGGUCGAUACUUGAGGAGAGUGUUGAAAUUAAUGUAAAAAUGUUAUAUAUUUUUUAUAUUCACGAUAAUUAUGAUUUUAACAUAGUAUUAUCCCAUUUUUAGCUUUCUUUCUUUCUUUAUUUUUUAGAAUAAAGUUAUUUAGCGCCUAUGCACUUCGUGAAAUACAGGAUACAUGUUUCCAAUGAUGAUAUCAGAUUUUGGAAAGAAAGAAACAUAACCCCUACAAUUACGAUCGAUAGCGUUCGCGAUGUGUUCCGUGUGUUUGUUAAUGGGAAACUUACAGGUGAUUGAACAUGAUAUCUUGCACUGUAUUUGAUCUGUUAUUUUGCGACGAUCUGAUGAUUUGCUAAUUUUAGGAAUGAGAAUCGACGUAAAUUAAUGAACUCAAGAUAACUUAAUGAAUCAAACAUCCUAUAUACGUUUAUUUAAAAGAAAAAAAACUGUCCUUUUUAAUUUUAUUGAAUCAAAAUAAUAUAGUGCUACAACCUAGUAUUAAUUGUUGAAUUUGAAGAAUACGCUUUACGAGUUGGUGGAUUUCAUUCAGUUGAGCCGCAUUUUCUAUUUUCCAGUAUCUAACCUGGAGUUUGAAUAGGCACUCUUGUUUUGGUUUCCACAAAUAUUCCCUCUUUUUUUUUUUUUUUUCUUAAUAUCUAAACAUAAGUCGAAUUCAAAUUUAUGUAGUCUCUCGUUCAUUAUAUCGAUGAAAGAGGCUUUUCUUUUUUUUAAAAAAACCAAACUUAUGUAAUCUGCUGCAUUUUUUUGGAAUAUUCACUGGCAGCAUCACAACAGCUAGAUUUGAGAUGAUUUAGUGGUGGCUAUUUAUGAAGUGCGUUGAACUUCCUUCCCAUUUCUCCAGGGAUCAGUUAUUUGAAUCUAGUUUUGAAGAAUUCCUGCCAUUUUGAUCAGUAUUUAUUUUCCUCUUUACACAAACAAUUCUUUUCUAUCAUAUAUGGUAAAUUUUUUAGAAAGCUUAUACGAAAAAGUUUUUGGAUUAAAUUUCCAUUUGCUGGCACUAGUAAGAAAUAUCUGCAAAUUUGUGUCGUGUGUACAUGUACUAAUCAUUUCGCUAACUCUAUUCCAUUUUUUCUGUCAUAUGGAAGAAAAGGCAGUGCAAUUGGUCAAUGGGUGAAGUUUGUCCAGCCUGUCCAAUUUCUUGAAGGAUAUAAUGAUUUGCUGUUGCUAUCUCAAGCAAUGGGUUUACAGGUAAAAAAUUCAUCUACAUCUUUUCUUUUGUGGAGAUCUACGUGAAACUGUGGUUUGUGGUGAGUGAUGACUAGAUGACCGUGUUUAAUGCCAUUAUCGAAACUGUCUGGAUUUAAAUGCAUUAUCAAUUCACUUCAAGCACACUGUGUCCUUCUCCAAUGUCUCUUUAAGGUGGAUACCGCCAUUCCCUGUGCUUAUUAGAAUCCAGGUGGCCUAUUCUAAAGAAGAAACAUGGUGAUCUAACACCGCAAAGAGGUAAAGGUAAAUGAUUAGAGAAUUCAAAAGAUGGAGCUCGAAGCUCAUCAAUUAACGUUAACCAUAAAAGGAGUGUUUCUUUUCUGAAUUUUGAAGGACAUUUUGAUCUGCCAUGAACGUCCUUAAUUGGGAUGAAAUGGAAUAGGCCUUGGUGACAAUUCUGAGAUAAGGAUAUUCAAGAUACCAUCCUUAGCACUGACCUUAAAUUUUCUAUUACAACAACGUAAUCUGAACUAUUUGACUUUUUUUUGUUAGUGCUCAUGUUUUCUUUCUAAAAGAUCUCAAGAAUUAGCCAUAGUAGUAAAAGGCCACUGGAUUCUUCAAAAUAUCAUUAAUUUCUUCUGUUUAAACUCGAGUGGGCCCUAAACUUUUAUUGAGCUGGAUCCUUUCUAGGUUCAAUUCUAGAUUUUUUUGCUUCAGUUUAACUACAUACAAUUAGUUCUUCAUUCUUCUGAAUGCAUAUUUUCUUUUAAGCUAAUUUUCUUAUUGGUGGUAUGUUCGUGGAUCUUAUGUAUUAUUUGAUUUCUUUUAAUCAUACAAUAGAAUUCUGGUGCCUUCAUUGAGAAAGACGGGGCAGGUAUUAGAGGUCGUAUAAAGCUCACUGGAUUCAAAAAUGGAGAUAUCGAUCUCUCCAAGUCCUUAUGGACUUAUCAGGUAAUAAUAUUUAACAGCGAUAGUUUUCUUUUAGCUUUUGGCUGAACCUGAGUCUUAGUAGUUUAAAUCUGUAUUCAAAUUUCUCUAGUUACAUCUAGAAAGUUGUUGACAUAUAAAAUCAAAAUUUCAUUUUGGCACUAGGUUGGGCUCAAGGGUGAAUUCUUGAAUUUCUAUUCUUUAGAAGAAAAUGAGAAGGCCGAUUGGACCGAAUUGUCAGUUGAUGCUAUUCCGUCAACAUUCACCUGGUACAAGGUAGAUUAUCCAGAGAUUAUCAAAUAAUAUUGUUUAUUGAAAAAAGAAUCAUAUUUGACUGCUGUCAUUUGUGUUCAGGGAGGGAUCUGGAAUGACAUUUUUGCAUCUCUUUACCUAAUAGCGUAACUUUUUGUGCUAUCUUAUUCUUGACCUUUUUUUUUUGCUAAUCCCAACCAUGGAUUUUUCACUUUAUGAUUCUGUUGGAAAACUCUUUAUUUUCUGUUUUUACUGUAUCCAGUGUCCCUAUUUGGUUAGAUUGAUGCUGUAGGGAUUUUGGUAGACAAUUCUUCACAAGGAAGCUUUGUUUUGCCUAUUUUCUAUUUCUGGUGUAUUUAUAUGGUCAGUUUGAUGCGAUAGAUCAUAGAUGGGUUUUCUUAAUUGACACUUGGGAAAAUCAGGGACCUCAUUCCAAGUUCCAGCGAUCCAUGGAAGUUAAGUUGACCAAACAUAAUCUCUUCGAAUUUAGAAGCUCAUUUAUUUUGGCUCUGGUGUAGGCGUACUUCAGUUCACCUGAUGGAACCGAUCCGGUCGCUAUUAAUCUAGGAAGCAUGGGGAAGGGGCAGGCUUGGGUUAAUGGCCAUCAUAUAGGUAGAUACUGGAGUGUGGUUUCCCCAAAAGAUGGCUGUCCCAGAAAAUGUGACUAUCGUGGUGCUUAUAAUUCGGGAAAGUGUGCAACAAAUUGCGGGAGGCCAACACAAAGCUGGUAUGUUCGAACCUACCAAAUAGCUUAAAGAAUCCAAACUAUGUUUCAAUGAUGACAUAUAUGGCAUGCGUUUGUGUGCGUGUUUGUAUUGGACGCCUAUAAUUCUUUAGUCUGACAUUCUCUCUAAUAAAAAACUGGUCUCUCCCUCUGCUUGUGGCCGUAACUAACACACCAAACCAUGCAAAUCUCUGUAUCAAUUCUCUCUAUUGUUUACAUUUAUUUUUUUAAAUUCUCAAUUUGUUUACAAGUAUAAAUAUAUAUAUUGAAUCAGAAUAGAUGCUGUAUUGCUUGUUAACGUUGCAAGUAAAAGUAUCUUUCAGGUAUCAUAUUCCACGCUCGUGGUUAAAGGAAUCAAGCAAUUUACUAGUUCUCUUCGAGGAAACGGGAGGAAAUCCGCUUGAGAUUGUAGUUAAGUUGUAUUCAACUGGAGUCAUCUGUGGUCAAGUCUCAGAGUCUCACUAUCCAUCUCUUAGGAAAUUGUCUAAUGACUAUAUAUCUGAUGGAGAAACUCUCUCAAACCGUGCAAACCCGGAAAUGUUCUUGCAUUGUGACGAUGGACAUGUAAUCUCCUCGGUCGAAUUUGCUAGCUAUGGAACUCCUCAAGGAAGUUGCAACAAGUUCUCUAGAGGUCCCUGUCAUGCAACCAAUUCUUUGUCCGUUGUUUCACAGGUGAGUCGUCCUCUUUUGAUAUUUCCAAAGAAUAUUAUUGCAUAUAAGGUGAAUUUUCAAGCCUAAAUUGCAAAUAAAAAUUGUGCAAAACGUUCCAUAACUACUUUUCGAAUAGAAAUUCAUGGAAUCUGAAACAAUAUGGUAGUUGUGGUUCCUUGAGACUCGAGCAGUAUCACAUUGUUUUAAGUGACCGCCACAUUUGUUCUAGGUUUUAAUUUUCAUCGAAAAUUUUAAUGUAUGUUCUAAAGUAGAGAAACUUCUUAAGGUUAAUAAUUUUUUAAUUGGAUGAGAUAUUUUUCUUAAUUUAGCCUUUCCUUUUCCUUUUAAGAUCGGAAGGUAAAAAGUAACUAUUUUGAUUCGGAUAACUGAGCCAUUCAGUUUCAUCUUCCCUUUCCAGGCUUGCUUAGGGAAAAAUAGUUGCACAGUUGAAAUUUCAAAUUCUGCAUUUGGGGGCGAUCCAUGCCAUAGCAUUGUGAAGACCCUCGCUGUCGAGGCUCGAUGUAGCUCAACGUCAAGUAUCCAUUCCUCUGUUUGACACGAAAACAACUAAUCCUCCAUUGUCUAUAUGUAAGUAUGCUGUGUAUUUACUAUUAUCUUAAAUCAUCAUCGUCGAUUCCAUUGUAAAUCUGCGAUUUUAUUUCUAGUUUUGGUCUUGACUGCACUUUUACAAAUGAAAUGAAGUUCUAAAGUACUUGAGAAAAAAAAUUUAGUAAAAUAGAGAAGGUUCCAAAACUAAAAGAAUAAGGUUGAUUUGAGAACUGUUCUAUUAAAUUUCUUUAAAAUAUGUUAGGUCAAGUUUUGAAGCCAUAACCUCCAUGUAUUUAUUUUGUUUUCUUUUCUAUUAACUUAAAUCGGUUUGAAGAAAAAAUCAAUUCUAUUCCAAAUUUUUCUAACAAUAAAUACACAAAAAUAAUUUAUAAUCUUUAAUAUAUCAUUUUUGAAAAAUUAAUUGAAACUAUAGUUUUAUUUUAUGAAAAUUUAAUAAAUAUUUCAACAUUUGUUUAUAUAUUUCAAAACUUUACAUUUCUAUAAUAAAUAUUGUUAAAUUUAAACCAUCUAUUUUAUAUUAUAUGAAUGUUAAAGUGUAGAUUUAGUCUCUAAAUUUUUAAAAUUGUAUUAAAAAUGUAUUCUCUGUAUAAAAGUAAAAGUGUCUAACAUAAGAUAUAAAAAGAUAAAAAUAUUAGUCUCGGAAAAUUGUUUCUUAAUUAUAAUUAAAGUAACUUUAAGUAUAACAUGAAAUCAAAUUAAUUUUAUUGAGUUUGAAAAGUUAUAUUGUAUAUAAAAAGAUGUAGCAUAAGAGUGUAUCAAAAUUUUAACAAACAAGAAAAGUAAUUGAAAAAAAAAAUUAGAAAGAAACUUUACAAAUCAUUAAAAAUAAAUAUUCUUUUUCUUAAAAAGAUCCUACAACUAUAUAUGUAUUUGUACUAAAAGAAAAAAUGUAACACUAAAUUAUUAAGAAUGGAUUGUGAAAUGUUAAAAGAUAAAUUAAUAACUAAUUAGUUUUUCAAAAGGUGUUACUAAUUAAUUUUUAUCCAAUUAUAUUUGAUUACUAUAUAUGAAAAUUUGGGUAUGUCAAAAGUUUCUAUAAUUUUACUUUUAAUUUCAUCAGCUCAAGAAAAUUGUAAAAAUAAUUAGUAAAUCAACCAACACUUUGAUGAUAAGGUAAAUUAUAUAUUAAAAAAUGUUGACUAAUUAAAAAUACAUAACCAAAAUAUUAUAUUUUCAUUAUUACAAAACAAUCAUAUAUAGUUAUUUGUACAUAAAGCAAAACUAAUUCAAUUGGUUUUUAAUAUUCUAUAUUUAUAUUUACACUAAUAUUAAUAAUAAAUAUAUUUACAUGGAGUAACGUUUGUGGACUUUUUAAAAAAAGAAAUUUCUCCAAAAGUUUUAUAUUUAUGAAAAUUCUCCUUUUUAAAAAAAAUGGUUUUUAGUUAUUAAAUAGAUUAAAAAUAUAUUAAUAAGUUAGUUAAAUCAAAUAAUAAUUUCCAUAAAUGUAACCAAAUCCAAAAAAUAUUUAUGAUCCAAUAUUUUCAUAAAUUUCAUAUUUGUCCUUGAAUAAUUAUUUUAUAAAAAAUAUUUGCUCUUUGACACUUGAGAGUUAAACGAUGCUUCGACCUAAGGAUUAAAAUAUCCAUCUACACGUCAAUUCUUCAACGUUGAUAUUAAAUAUUCUUAAUAUGUUAAAUCUUCUAUAAACACUCAUAAAAAGAUAACACACAACAUGAAGGAACUCAAUCACUUGAAUGAAUAAUAUUUGAAAUAAUAUAUGCAUUAGCAGUAAUAAAUGUUUUGAAUGUAUUAAAGUCAAAAAGAGAACGUGGCGAACCAUAAUAUGCCCAAAAACAAAAGCUUUACCACUAAUCUGUUGGCCAAAAAUGCCUCUGCCCAAACUCAAACAUUUCCAAUAAAAACAACAAAUUCCCACCAUGGCCAUUCCAUCUAGAAAAAGCAAAAAACAUAUUCUAUGCCUUCUUGCAAGUCAUUUUCCCCAUGGAAAACAGCAACAUCUCUGUAGGACAGAGGAAGAAAAAUGGAUCAAACUCUUUUACCAACUCCAUGGAAAAUAGAGAGAGAGAGAAAGAAAAGAUAUGUUAGUUAAAUAGCACUUCUAGUUCUUCCCACCUAAAAAUAUUGCAUGAAGUUGGCUUAGUUUAGGCUCAAUUUUCAAAACAACCACACCCAACAAAACAACCACUCAUAUCUAAUCACAUCUCAUCUCAAGUUGGUCAAAAUAUUUCUAAAUCACAUAAUUCAGAAUUACUAGUAAUAAAAUUUAAGCAAUUAAAUAGUUCAGAUUCUAAGAAACCAUGCAAAAUCUGACCGUUUUACUUGCAAGAAAGAUUCAUUGAAAACUUGUUGUGUUGAUCACCAAUAACUCGGAAAUAAGGAAGUCUUUAGAUCAGGUCUUAAGCUUUUGGAUUGUGAUAAUUUAACCAUGACGUACCUUUGAGUUUUCGGCACUAGAACGACUACGAAUACUAGAAACAUUGGUCCCAGCUGGCAAACUUCCGUCUUCCGUUUGUCUCUCCACGCGCACUCUGGUGAAAAUAUUAGUGUAGUUCUCAGAUGACGAUGGAUCGCUUUCGUCCCAGUCACCAAAUUUUGGGACUGUGGCACCACGAUCAGGCUGCAACAUCAAACAAUAGGAGACUGUGUCAUUCAAAAUAAUCUCAUCAAUAGUCAUAAAUCAAUGGGUUGCAGUGAAUUGUAGACAACUUUUGUUUUAAAAACACGUUGAUAUCUAAGGAACAAAUCUGGAAACUAAGUCACUGAGCAUUAUAAUGUACAAAAUCUUUUCAGAACACUCUAGUUGUGAACUUAAAUACGUGAAUGAAAGGAAAUGAGGAAAGGUGCUACGGUUUCAUUGCCCCGAGGAACAGAUUGUUGACGUGAUCUUCCAGGAGUUAAGGGAGCUAAACCUUCAUGACUACUUCCUCUAGGCGAACUUGAGCCUCUUCUUUCCCGUAACGGUGAAGAUGGUACAACAGUUUUUGCUUCAGUCCUUGGAUGCUGUCGCGAAUGAAGAGGUGAAUUUUCUAUGCUGCAUUCAGAAACUGUGCCAUUUCUCAUAGUCCCUUUCGAUGAAUUACUGGUCGAGCUGUGGUUACCUUGACGUUGAUGAAGAGGCGAGUUCAAGCUAACUUGACCCAUUGAUCGAUGGUCCAAAGGGGAAUCAAGUUGUUUCUUCAUAUUGCUAUCUUCCAAGCCCAAAUCUUCUUGUGUGUGCUUUGGCCUUGAUACUUGUUGACCCCGACUCUUUGCGGACUUUAUACCAUUAUAAUCCCGACCAGACAAUUCCGGAGCAUCAUGGUGUAAUGGAGAUUCAGGUUGCCUCCUCACAACACCACCCUCUUUGAUUUUGUGUUGCUCAUAGUUUGACCUCACUGUGUUUGAAAUCUCCUCACGGUGAGGAAGAGAAUCAUUUGGAUUCAUCCUCUCGAAUUUAGCCUUUGUCGCAUUGUCAAAAUAGGUCGUAUACGGGACAUCAUCCCCAUCAUCCCACUUACCAAAUUUUGGUACUUGUGAACUCCGCUGCAGUGGGAGAAGAAAAUGUUUUACUAAUCUAUUUUGAAUCGACCAAUCGUAAGCAAAGAAACUAGAUUUUCGGUUUUGAGCCGGAUUGCGUUCGUACACAAAGUUAUGACUACUAGAAAAGUAUUCUAAAAUCACAUGUAACACAAAUAUGAACCUCCUUUUAGAGAUAUUAUAAUGUGAUAAAACACUGACAGAACUACACUUUUCUCUCCAAUAAAGGUAAUUUCCUUCAUCAUCUUAGAAACUUCCUCAUGAGUUUCCUUAUCGUCCUUAAAAGUGCUAUGGUAACAGAUCUAUGAAGAGGUUACAAAACAACAAUCCAUGUCAAGGAAAACGAAGGUAUGCAAACAGCAUGAACUCUUUUAUCAAAGAAGCAUACAAAUUUCAAAAAAUGAAAAGGAAAAAUUUGUAACUGCAAACAAUUUCCAAAUCUCAUAUGAAAGAUGAGCAUUCUCAUGGUGAAAAAUAAACGAAUAAUAUUUUCUUUCCUGUCGAGAGACACAUGCAUAUCCAGAUAUCAAUCAAAAUUCAUGGCAAAAAGAAAAUGAAAAACACCAUUGUCAAUGGUGUUAUGGUAUUGCAGACGAAGAGUGUAUGAAUAAGAUAUCCCACGUGAAAUAAGGCAAGUAACCUUAUGUAAUUUAAUUUGUAUGAGAGGAGAAACAUUCUUGACUGAAUCUUUGACGAAGUCAUAGAAAGAUGGAAGGUGAAGAAAAAGUUCAUUAAACCAUAAUAUGUUCAAGAGACUCAGUCAUGGAAAGAGAGGUUUAAAAUUAGCCUAAAGGUUCAACCCAUUAAUUAAGAUAAGCUAGAAAAGGUCAAGCCAGUUUUGGACUCCAAGACAGUCAAAACCGAUUCCGUACUCUCUGAACUCGACAUCAAUUCAACAUAAUUCUGCAUUACGACCUCCAUUAACAACCACGACUCAAGAACAGAGAAACAAAGGAAUCAAUAGAUUUAAAACAAGCAAACCAAGAAGAUGAGUCGACGUGCACAUUUCAGAGGUUCGAAUCCCCCGAUACACACACACACACAAACACACGUAGUUCAAUAUGAUUCUACAUUACAAACUCCAUAAACAGCCCGACCUACGCAUAGCUCAUCUAGUUCAAGCCAUACGCGAACAUAACAAUUCAAGGUUCGAAUCAUAGAUCCCAGCAGUUCGCAACACAUAGUAAAUAAGAUAACCAAGAAAUUCAGUAUAAAACUUCAUUAUUUCAGAAACAUUCAAGAGAAGAAGAAAGAAAUGGUAAUAAGCAAAAAAUAACAAACAAAGAAGAGAGAUAUUUGGAACACUCACAGCCAUUAGCCUUCAGACAAAGGUCUAAAUCCUCAAACAGUACUUUGAAACGAAAAGGAGUAACCUAUUUUAACCUGCUCCAAGUUCCAUCGACACUGCAAAAGCUAGAACAAAACGAUAAAAAAAUUGAGCACAAAAGAAAAAAAUCGUACGGCCAAAAAAUGGAAGAAACAAACAAAUUAAACUAAAGAAAAAAAUGGAACUUCCAUUAAAUUAUUGACUUAAUAAAGCUAAGAUUUCGAAGUAGGACCAGAAGCAUAAUGGAAGAUUAAUGUGAAAACCUUUUGGAAAUCGGAUAGAGUUGAAAAACAGAUCCGCAAAUCUUCGACCCCAUUUUGAGGAUUGAAAUGAAAUGAAUUGUGGAGAAAGAACAUAUUUUAUUGUUUUUCACUAUCAGAUUAUUGAACCCUUUUUCACUGUUUAACUGAAUCUUUGGAGAAAGGAAAGAAAAGAAAAAAGAAAAAAUGGAAAAGAUGAGGUCAGCUGGCUGACGGAUGAAGACGACGAACUUGACAACUGGAUGAUUAAAAUCAUAGAUAGCGACUCUUCUGUCGGCCCAUUAAUAGUGCAACUCCCAAACUCUUAAAUCUUUAAUAACAAAUAAAUUCAAAAUUUUACUCUUUUUUUUUCUUCUUAGUUUAGAUAUCAUUUCUCUAAUUACAAAUUUGAUGCAAAUUACAAAACCACUCUUGAAUUGUAGUAGACUGGUGUAUUUAGUAGUUGAAUUUAUUGGGGAGCUGAAGGCAGCGGUAUUUACGUAGGAUUUGCAAGACACAAGUUGUUUUAUUUUAAACAAAAUAUGAUUGUAAUGCGGUCACCGAAAAAUUUAGUAUAGAUCCAAGGAUUGAGUCGUUUAGUAUUUAUAGAUAGCUUAGUGGUUAAUUUUUAUUUUUUUUCAAAUUCAACUCAAACCUUCCUGUCAAUAAAUUUUCUAGAUCCGUGAUUGUGUCUUUGAGGAUUGUAAUGCAGUCACCGAAAAAUUUAGUGUAGUCCAAGGGUUGAAACGUAUAGUAUUUUUAUAGAUAGCUUAGUGGUUAAUUUUAAAUUUUUUUCAAAUUCAACUCAAAGCUUUAUGUGAAUAAAUUUUCUAGAUCCAUAAUUGUGUCUUUGAGACUUGUGUUUCGCAAAAUUAAAUCGAUUGACGUGAUAGAUAAAAAUAACGAACUAUCAUUAUCAAAUACAAAAAGGUUAUAAUAUUUGUUGUAUUUAUAUAUAUUUUCGAUAUAUAUACCACUGUAUUACAAUUAUGUUUGAUGACUUAGUCUAAACAUUGAAAUAAAUUUGAAGGCCUCUAGUGUUUUCAAAUAAUAAUUUGAGGGUUCCUUAAAUUUAGCUACGUUAUUUCUAUUGUUUGAUAAAAAAAAAUUGUCAUGGAUACUCAUAAGUUAAAAUAAUAGAUAAAACUAUUCUUGAAAUUAUUUAAACCUAUUUCUGAAUUUCAUGGGGAAAAGGUAUGUUUUGGUAAUUCAACCACCAAACGUUCCUAUUCUUCAAAAUUAAUUCUCUUUUAUAAUGUGUUAUAGUUGGUUGAUUGAAUAUUGGGUGUUUGGCUUCUUAUGAAAUUAUAUUGUAAAAUUUUAAAUUAGAUGUGAGGAUUGACACCCAGAAACCAAUCUGAACUUUUCAAAAUGACCGAACCAACACCCAAUAUGGUCGAUUUUAUUAAAAUAUGGUCACUCGAUGGUCAAUUUUAUUAAAAUAUGGUCAGUGGUCGGUUUAAUUAGAAGGUUUCGAAAAACCAACUGAAACUGAUAAGCUGAACACUGUUGUCGGUUUUCACCCUGGUUUUGGCCCGCCUGACCGACGAUCACCCUAACGGUAAUAGAUCUAUGGGGAUUUUUAAAAACUUGAAACCUCGAGUUAAGUUUCUAAUCGUUAGACAAAAAUUCCAAAGUUACAAACCAAAUUUGCAAUUUAAGAAAAACAACAAAACUAGAGUUUAAACAGAGAGAGAAUGGUACUGCCGUUUCAGUAAUGCUGAAUAAAAAAUUUCCCAACCACAACAAUGCAAUUCCAAUACUAAAUUCUUAACCUCGUUUAGUUUCAAGUCUAGAGAUAAUUUAGAAUAUGUUUUUGCUAAUUAUAUUUAUUAAAAUAAAAAAAGAACAAAAGACGAGAGGAAAGUUAAGAAUAUUUAGCUAAAGAAAGUUUAGGAUAUUGAGAAGCAUUCAACUUCUAUAUAAUCAUUCAACAGCAUAUCAUCUUCUUUUCAGGGUUUUACAUAAAACACACAAGGACAAUCAACUGAUUCAAAAGCCAUUAAAUGUCUGCAAUUUCAGGUCGUGAAGUAAAUCUACCUCCAUGAAUUUGUGUGGGAAGUGGGAACCCCUCAUUUCUUCCCACUCUUCUUGAGCCCAGCACCUCCAAAGGUCCCCUUCUGUUGAGCCUUUGCUCUAAGCUCCUUGAGCGCCUGUAUAUAUCAUCAAACAUCGCAGAAUUAUACAACCAAUGGACCAGAAGAAAAAGUUAAUGUGACAAUUUUAAGUUUAAUUUUAAGUUUAUGAUUCUUAUUUGCAAAAUUUUAACGUAAAGCUUAUACACAGAGGAAACACUUUGUUACAAAUUUGUGGUUGUAUUUUAAAGAAAUUUAGUGAGUGAAUUGUCAAACUAAAUUUCAAUAGAAAGCAUGAAAAUGAAUGAACCAAAAUUAACAAAAGUUAAAAGGACGUGCACCAACAUGAACAGUUUGCAUUCUUUCAAGAACCAAACAAAAAGCAUCUAAUUAGACCAUCAGUUUUCAGUUAUGAGGUUCUAGUU
RNAcentral lists this long non-coding RNA (70426 nucleotides) under Cucumis sativus (cucumber). RNAcentral describes it as "long non-coding RNA (CSAT_LNC000923)". The record is from RNAcentral. Lineage: Eukaryota; Viridiplantae; Streptophyta; Magnoliopsida; Cucurbitales; Cucurbitaceae.